Molecule: long non-coding RNA, 56052 nt
Filed under: Medicago truncatula (barrel medic)
Lineage: Eukaryota; Viridiplantae; Streptophyta; Magnoliopsida; Fabales; Fabaceae
Description: long non-coding RNA (MTRU_LNC000957)
Source: RNAcentral
UAACUAUGCUAUAGCCAAUGUUUUGAUCCUUCUCUUGAACUUGAGUACCUUACUCAAUGUUCUUGCUUGCCCUUAUUGUCCUUACCCAAGCCCUAAACCACCUUCACACCACCCUCCUAUUGUUAAGCCACCAGUUCACAAACCACCAAAGCAUUCUCCUACUCCUAAACCACCAGUUCAUAAACCACCAAGAUAUCCUCCUAAACCAUCACCUUGUCCACCCCCAUCAUCAACACCAAAACCACCUCAUCAUCCCAAACCCCCAGCAGUACACCCACCACAUGUUCCAAAACCACAUCCACCUUAUGUUCCAAAACCACCAAUUGUUAAACCUCCAAUAGUACAUCCACCUUACGUACCAAAACCCCCAGUUGUGAAACCACCACCAUAUGUCCCUAAACCACCUGUUGUGAGACCACCCUAUGUUCCUAAACCACCAGUUGUACCUGUAACACCACCUUAUGUUCCUAAGCCACCAAUUGUUUUCCCACCACAUGUUCCUCUACCUCCAGUUGUACCAUCACCACCACCUUAUGUACCAACACCUCCAAUUGUGAAACCACCAAUUGUUUUUCCACCACAUGUUCCUCUACCUCCAGUUGUGCCUGUAACACCACCUUAUGUGCAACCACCACCUAUUGUAACUCCACCAACACCAACACCUCCAAUUGUGACACCACCAACACCACCUAGUGAAACACCUUGUCCUCCACCACCACUUGUACCUUAUCCACCACCACCAGCACAACAAACAUGUUCCAUUGAUGCUUUGAAGUUGGGUGCAUGUGUUGAUGUGCUUGGUGGACUCAUACAUAUUGGUAUAGGUGGAAGUGCUAAACAAACAUGUUGUCCAUUGCUUCAAGGACUUGUUGAUUUGGAUGCUGCUAUAUGUCUUUGCACCACUAUUAGACUUAAACUUCUUAAUAUCAAUCUUGUUAUCCCCCUUGCUCUUCAGGUUCUCAUUGAUUGUGGCAAAACUCCACCAGAAGGGUUUAAGUGCCCAGCUUCUUAAUCAUAUAUGCACAAAGCUAGUACAUUUAUAUUUUGAAGGUAACUAUUUAAUUCAACUUUAUAUACUUUUCUUUUAGUAAAAUUUGUGUACAUGCAAUUUUAUUAUUUAGAUUAGAUUCAAAUAUAUUUUUAGUAUUUACAAGUAUACUGUUUUUUUGCCAUUUAUUGGUCUUCGUAAUUUUUCUUUUGUUUUUAGUCUUUGCAAUAUGAAUAAGGACUAAAAUAAAUAUUGUAUAGAUCAAUUCCAACAUAACAACUUUGCAGGGAAUGUAAUAAAACACCAAUGAUCAAAAGUAAAAAGUAGUAUAUUUAUAGGGAAUAAAAACAAAAAUUUCAUAUAUUUGGAUGGACUAACUAAAAACGAAAAAUUGGUAUAUUUAUGUCAUUAGUUGUGUUCGGAACUUUUCUAUUGCUAAAAUCAUAUUAAUAAAAUUUGUUUACAUUCAAUUUCAUUGAUUAAGAUUUUAUACUAUGUGAUUGUGACCUAGAUGUGUUAAUGUUUACAGGAAUUCCAUGAAUAUUAGUUAGCUCGGAAUAAGCGUUUACAAGUUGAAAGAGAUGUAGUGAAAAAAUUGUCAUUGUUUCUCGUUCAAGUUGGUGUAGGGAUACCAGAAAUGAAGGACAAGAACGUAGUAGAAUUGUACUUUGAUGGAAAUUAUGUAACUGGAAGAAGACCAAAAAAAUAUUCUGCACUUCACGUAGUAGUCGUCGUCAUGCAUUAAUAUGACAUAAACUUUCAAUUUAAUUAUUUUCUGUUUCUAUCUUUUUGUCACUUUCUUUCAUUGCGUAUGAUGCUGUGUGUGUAUGUCAGCGUUUGUAAGUUCAACCCGUGAGUGCUUUGGGGAAAUGUAUAAUAAGUUCUUUUUAUAUUUUCUUCAAAAUGCUUGAUUCUCAUCUAACACAUUUCUUCGUAUUAUCCGGAAUAUUGUCCUUUAAAAGAAAAUUACAAACAAAAAUCUUGAAAGAAAGAAUAAACAGUGUGAUAAUAUUUCUCCUUAUGAUGAUUAGUAAAUGCUUGUUUAGCAUAACGGUCUCAGUCAAAUUGGAGGACCCGCUCGAAUAUUAAAAAUAAAACCCUAAUAAAAAAAUUAGUGCUAAUUUAAACAAUUAAAAAUUAACAACAAACUUUUUUUUUAUUUGAAUUUGUUCUACUGAUUUUUUUGUUGGUGGGAUGUGUGAGUCGGGUCUAACUUAUAUAAUAUUUUCUCUUUUAUUUUUAUCAAAUAAUAAGAGUUUGGUUUAACCUAUCUUCUAUUAUAAUAAAAUAAAAUUUUACUAUAUAUCUUCCACAUAACUUUUUGCUCAUGUUGUUUAGUAUUGUGAAUUAGAGACAAAACUUCUCUUUAAUGAUUUUGUUUGGAGAGCAUAUCUGCUAGUUUUCGCCGAUUUUCCCUAAUUUGCGCCAAACGUACGUGCAUGUUUUUUAAUAUUCUUGCUAAUUACACAUAUCGCCAAAACUAUUUCCUUAAAAUUAGGAUAAAGUUUUUUUUGAAGAACAGUAGCACUGUCAAAAAAAAAAUGUCUAAAACAGUACAUUAUAGAGUACUAUACCUAAAUUUCCCCCCUCAUAAAAAAUUGGUCUAUAUUAGUGUGCAAAGUGUACACUAUGCAUUUCAAUUUUGAAUUUUCAAAAAAUGGACUAUAUGAAUUUCACAAAACUUCCGUUUUAAUUAAUAAAUAUUGCUCUUAGGAUAUUCAUUAGUAUUUUUCUAUAUUAAAUUCAUAUAUAAUAUGUCAUGUAAAUAUGUCCCCCUAAACACAAUUGACGCGGAAUUGAACCCACAAUUUCACACUUUAAGUUAGAGGUACUUACAUCCAAAAAAAUCCAAAAUAAAACCGUAAAUCAAUUCAAAAAAACAAAAAAUUGUGCCAAACCAAAUUUUAUUGGAUGUCUUAAUUAGGAUGUACUUUUAUAACAACCGUUUUGAUCGGAUUGAAUUUUGAACUCAUUUUUCAAAACAGACCACAUACAUAAAUAUUAAUACUUAUUUAUUUUUAAUUGGUAUAAUAUAUUGCAUUAAUCCAUUAUUUGUAAAUUUCUUAUUUUCUUUUAAUAAUACUUAUGAGUUAAAUUUAAUUUGUUUGUUUUUAUUAUUUCAUGGGGUUAAUAGUGUUUUACCCCAUGUAAUAUAAGUCAUUUCCAGUUUACCUCCUGUGAUUUUUUCUUAGAUUCCAUCCUUGUAAUUUGAAGAUUUUUUAUUUUAGACCUUCAUGAAUUUUGACUAUAAAAUCGAUGACAUGGUAGAAGGUAAAUCGAAAUUUGCUCAAAUUACAAGGGGCGAAAGUACCUUAAAUUUUGUAAUUGAUGUCAAAGAAUGUCCAAAAUCAAAGAAUCUUCAAAUUAUAAGGACAUAAUCUAAAAAUAUAUAUAUAGGGGUAAUCCAGAAAUGACUUAUAUUAUAGGGGUGAAACAUUAUUAACCCUAUUUCAUAUCUUUCAAACAUAAUCGAUUAUUAUCAUCCAUGAUUGUUAAAUUUUAAUAUAUUAUAGGCUAUAUUUUGCAUCAAACUUAUUAUUUUACCGUAUCUUUAUAGCAUCAAUAGAUUUUUUUCACAAAACUGUUAUUUAAAAAACCUUCCGCUUUGUUUUUUUUUAGUCUUUUUCGCGAGUGUUUUGUACGUUUUCCAUAUACUCAACGAAAAUAAUAAUUGUCAUUUAAAAAAAAAAAAAAAAACCAAAUACCAUAAAAUUGAAACGGAUCUCAUCAUCUUUUUUAGAAAUCAUCUAAAUCGAACUAUGAGUAUUUUAAUUUUUUGAUUAAAAGAUAUUUUGUUGGAUCAUACUAACUAUAUUGGUUUUAUUAACUAGUGUUCUAAGACACUAAUUAACAUUUCUCUUUUUACUUCAUAAAUGAUUCAAACUUUAACGUGAACGCAUCUACUUCAAAUCACUUUGUGUGUACGACUAACAAAUGAAGUUCAUAUAUAAUAUGAUUUCUCAGAGCAUAAAUCUCUAUUUUGCAUUCAUGUGUAUAUAAAUUAAUUCUUAAUGUCUAACUAUUAUUUUUUAUUAAAGUCGAACUACUUUUUUUUUUUCUAAACAAUGUCUCUAACUAUCUUAAAAAUUAAUAAUUUCUCUUUCAGUAUUUGACCCUUUCCUUGAUCAAAAAGAAUUUGACCCUUUCCUUGAUAAAAAUAAAAUAAAAUAAAUUGACCCUUUCACAUACUAUUGUUUAUAAUGCGUAUGGAAUAAUUGACACGACACAUUAACUAAGCGUACUUACUCCACUAGUGCAAUAUUAAAAUUACAGUCUGAAAAAGAAAAAAAAUCAUGUACCAAUUUCGACCAAUAAAUUUAAUGAUGAAAUUAAUCCCUACAUAUGAAAAAAAAUAAAAUUUGAAGAAGCUAAACUAACCCCCUCAAAUCGGUGCAAGAGAGAAUCGAACCUGAGACUUUAAGGAGGAACACACUCCCAGAUCCCAAAUCAAUAUCACUAAAUCAACCCAAGUGGGUUCAUAUGAAAAAAUAUUUGUUGAAAGAGAAAGGUCAUUUAAUUGAAUCUUCGUACUUUAAAAAUUCCUAAUAUCUAGCUUUUGACUAUAAGAUACUUUUGGCAACCAAAUAAUUUGAUCCCAUAGAUUUCAUGCUGCCUUUGUUUUUAACAUUAAUUUUCGAAAAUCAGAUGUUUCUCUCUCCCCCUCUCUCUUUUGUGAGCCGUCGGCCGAAACUCUAAUUUCUUCUCUUUCAUCCACCAAAGAGGGAUGAUUUAGGGUCAAUUUUUGACCCUGAAUCACCCCUCUAAAUCGUUUUUCUCCUUCCCUUCUAUUUAAGUAAGUGAUUUUCACAUCGAAUUAGGUUUUCCUUUUGUGAUUUCGUCGUCUUAGUGCGACGUUGUUUGUCUUUUCCAUGGUUCAGGUGUUUGCUCGAUUCAGAUUGUCAGAUCAGUUUCGAUCCAGUGCAGAUCCAACCAAUAACUUUGGCGUCAUCAACGUUGCAGAUCCGGAGGCAUAGCUAUUCCGAAGAUUUUAAUAUAGUCAUAUUUGUAGGCUUAUGUACUUUGCCGUUUUAUGCUAUAUAUUAACAUGGAUGUUGUGAGUUUUUUCACAAAUUCAUCCUUUUUGUUUUUAGUGAAUUUGUAUUGCAUCGAUGUACUCUGUCAAUUUGAAUGAAUGAAUGUGUCCUUUGUUUUGUGUAAAAAAACAUUAAUUUUCGAGAAGAGUUGCGCAAGUUACGAAAUUGAGUGUCACGUCAAUAAAUGAUGUUCGGUUGAUGUAAAUUUUGGAGAAAAUCGGGGAGGAAGGCCACCAAAUUAAAGAAGAGAUGAAAACAUAAGAGUGUGUUUGUUUCAAGGAAAGAAAUUACAUUCCUUGGAAUGACAUUCAUGGGAACAAAUUUUCAAAAUUUGAAACAAGCACGGGAAUGUUGCAUUUCCAAUCUCACAUUCCCGGGAAUCAUAUUACAACCCUUGAAACAAACACACUAUAAGAUGCCGAAAUCGCUCAAGGAAGAAUGGAAGGUCAUGAAAUCGCACAAUCGUGAUACUUAAAGGUCAAAUAUGCAGUUAAACCUAUAAUUUUUCUCUCUAAAUUUAUUUAAUUGAUUAUAUUUUUAAGAAAAUAAUACUACAAAAUAAGUGUCAAGUGUUGCCUAAUUAAUGAAGAAUUUUGUAUCAAAAUAAAAAAUACUCGAUAAAGGAUUUGAUCUUUUGAACUAUACGUUGAUAAAAUAGUUGAUAGUUGGAUUUGGAAACAUGCUUCAGAAACUCAAACUACUUAGUUAAAUGAUUUGAUCAUAUUUUGACUCAAGAAGAGCCGGUCCAUGCACCUUUUACGUAGAUUAUUUAAAACAAUGCAAUGCCUCUUAAAGUGUCGUUUUUUGCGUGGAGAGUCUUCAAUAAGAAAAUUUCGAUAAAAGGCAAUUUGGGUCUUUGGUUAUGUAUAUGUUGUCCCAAUGCUUGACAAAACAUAUCCAAACAAUGUAAAACACUGUGAGCUUGCUCAAUAGAAACCUUCGCAAAAAGAAGAUUAUCAUCAACAAAAAGCAAAUGAGAGGUUUAAGGGAUAUGCAUUUUUUCUCUCUGUCACCAUGUCACCAUGUAAAACACUGUCACCAUGUCUAAUACCACUUAUGAGAACGAAAGUGUCAAUGUUCUCUCUGUUCGACAAUAUUUUGUAUGAGAGAGAAGAAAUACAAUGAUGAAUUACCUAAAUGAGCUUAGAAUGAAAUUGCACCCCUUUAAGCAUUUUUUCACAAAAUUCUAGUUUAGACGAUCAUAGGCUUUUUUCAGUUCAAUUUUAAUAGACAUAUACAGUGUGUUUGGUAGAGGUGAAAUUGCAGAGAGAGAGAGAGAUGCAAGCGAGAGAAAUAGGAUUGAGAUGCAGAAUCUUUUAGUGUACCAUCUCCCAACUACAAUGAUGUUAUGAUGGGUACUUCUUUCAAAAAUAAAAAUAAACUGAUAUGGAUAAACUAUCCCAUCAAAUAAAAGUUUAAUUCUAUUAACAUAAACUUUAGAAAUAACAUUAUACAAAACUUUGAGUCUAAAUUGAGAAAAAAUUAUUCAGGUUUAUCAAUUUUAUGUUUAUGUAUUAUACCAUACGCUAGUAAUACUAUCUUUUAUUAUGUUCACGCAUGUGUCUCAAGCAUAUGGGUAUAAUGUGUAAGCUAUGGGAAAAUGACUCAAGCAUGUGUCUCAAGCAUGGAAUAUAGUGUCAGUAGCAAAUAAAAAGGUUAUAAAGAACAAGAAACGAUCUAGACAUCAUACUAUCUUUUAUGUUCGUGUGGUUGGCUCUGAUUAAUCUAACAAGUAUGGGAUGCUUGACCUUGAUGCAAUAAUGUUUCUUUAAACACCGACGUAGUAGUAAUAAUAAUAAUAAUUUAAAAUAAUGUUUAUUUAUAAAAAAAGUAAUAAUAGUAUGUUUUUUUAUAACAAUGAGGGCCUAAGAUAAAAGAAGAAAGAGAUAACAACGAGAUUAUAGGUGGAGUAAAAUUCCCUAUCAAAUCAAAAAGCAACAAAGACUAAUAUUGUUAGGACGAACAUCAAAGGAACAGGUCCCUAAAUCCAUCGAACAAGCUAAAUUGUUUGCGCAUUGAUUUGCUUCAUGAUAAGAGUGAUAACAACAACUUCUCAAUCAAGUGAAAGGAAGCGAUGAAUCUUCUCAACUAGCUACCUCCUUCUCUAGCUAUCAUGCACAUGUGAAGUGAUAGCUUUUACAAUAACUAAGGAGUCAACAUGCAACUCAAUAAAUCAAAAUUGCAACCUUCUAACAUUACAUGACCCCUUCCAAUAAUGAUGUGUUGUUGCCUAUAAACAAUUUUCUACUUUGUAGAGCUUUAGUACGAUGUAAAAUGAGUCGAUGUUGUGAAAAAUAAGUAAGAAUUGACAUACAUAGUGAAAAUAAGCAAGAUUAUACAUUGUUUUGAUUUUUUUUUUUUAAGUUUUAAAUAAGCUUUACUACGUUAGUAUAUAAGACCAUCUUUAAAUGAGGAGUCUUGUUUUUAUUUUUUAUUUUUUUCCUUUUUAAAUUAAUGAGGAAUCUUAGAGUGUGUUUGGAUGGGGGAAUGUUUUAAGGGAAUGUAAUGUUUUGAAGGAAUUCAAAUACCUUGAGGUGAAUUUCAUUGUUUGGGUAAUAGUUUGAAGAAUUUUCAAAAUGAUGGAAAUUUAUGAAGUAUUUUGUUCAAGUUAAAUGUAGAGAAUUUCAAAUGACACCUAAAAGUUAAGAAUUUCAAAAAUCUUCAUUGUCAUAUUUUUUCAAAUUUUACAUUUUGGUCCUCAAACUUUCCAAAAUUUUCAAUUUGACCCCAAUAAAUUUAUAAAAAUUGCAAAUUGACCCCUCAAAUUUUCCAAAAAUUAUAAUUUGGCCCCUCAAAAAAUUUGAAAUUUACUAAUUGACCUCUAAUUUCAUUUUUCAAAUUUGGCCCAAAAAAAUUGAAAUUUAUAAAAGUUGCCCAAAAAUGAUGACAAUAAAUUUUUUUUAUUACUCCAUCCAAACAAUAAUAUUUAAGAAUGAAAGCAAUUUAAUUGAAUCAUUUGAAUUACCUAGAAUUCUAAAUUCUUCAAAAUUUCUCAAAUACUCCAUCCAAACACACUCUUAGAGAAUCUAUAAUGAAUAACUCUGAAAAUGAAUUUUUAAGUGUGAUUUAUGUGUACACAUUACACAUUUGUAAUUUUUAAAUAUCAAUUUCUGAUAACCAUUGAACCCUUCCAUUAACUUCAUCCAUAUUCUCCUAGCCAUUAUGUAUAAUUGGCCCUCUAACAAGUACUUGUUUGUACUGUAUUCCAAAAAAUGAUGUUGAUGAGAGACUUACUAAGUAAUGUUUGACAUAGUCGAGUAUUAUUAUAAAAUAUUGAUAAAGUCAAGGACAUUUAUAAGCGCGACUCGUAGAGUUAGAGACCAACUUGAUCAUUUAACUAGCCAUGUUAAAGCUAUUAAUAGUGUCAUCAAACAGUGUUGAUCAAAGGAAUUAACUUAAUAUAACGUUUGAUAAAGUUAGAGACUAUUUUAAAAUAGGAUUUUUCUAUCAUGUGAAAAUUUGCACAUAUUAAGAAGUUUAAAAUAGUAAAGUUGUAUCGGAACUUGUGUUUUUUAUAUUAACUAUAAAACUUUUUAAUAAAUAAUUGUUCUUUUUCAAUGUAAAGUUACUAUUUUUAGUUCCUUUAACAUAUGCAAUAUUGUACAUGUUAGACAAACCCUUUAAAAUAUUAAUAAAAUCAUAGGCUUCUUUUUUCUUUUUUUUUUUAGAGAUCCAAUCUAUGUCUACUUUAGUUGGAUAUCUUUAUCAAAAGUUAUUAGAUACCCAUGGCAAAAAAAAAAUUAUAAACAUUGUAAAAUGUUUACCCAUGAACAAUCACCACUAUUUGGAUAAAAAAAAAAAAAAAAACUUAAGUUUUACACAUCAUUUUUUGCUGAAACUUUUUCACUUUCUUAACUUUGGGGACCAAGGCUACGGUAGGUGACCUCCUUAGGUCUCCUACUAUAGAAGACUUGUUUUUUUUUUUUUUAAACGAGAUUUUUAAAAAAAAAAAUAGGAGGAAGUUUUUGAAUGGUUGGGAUUUCAGGUAAUGUGAUUCACUAGAAUUCUAUUUUUUAAAUAUAUAGAAUGAUUUAAAAAUUCAAUUGAUUUUGGAAUCACAUUUAACAAAGGGUGUUUUUGACAUUGUUGGAAAAAUUAUAUGACCCAACAUGCCAAUUUUUUUUCUUCUAAGGUCUAAAAACAAUAUUCAGUAUAUUUAUUGGGACUAAAAAUUUAUUCAACCUUUCUAUCUAUUGACCAUUGAACUAAUAACAUUUGGAUUGCAUGGAAUGAACACAAUGGUAAAUUAUUUACAAAUUUAGAAAAUACCAUUCCACAGUUAUUAGAAAAAGUAAAAUAUUUAUUGUUAUGGUGGCUUAAAGUUAAUAAGGUCAAUUUUGUUUAUGGCUCGUGGUUGAACCCGUUUAGGUGCUUGGAUAUCGACUCACCUUUUAGUGUAUUCAUGGAUUGACAGCUUGUAAUUAUUUUUGGUUUCAUUUAUGCUAAGGAGAUUACACUGUCAUUGUUAAUAUAAUUUUUUUUUUGUAUCAAUACAAUUUAUUUUUUAUUGUUAAAAAAACUAAUAAUAUUCAGUUAUUUAAAAAAAAAAACUCACAUAUCUAUAGUAAAAACCUUAAUAUAUUUUCAACUACCUCUCAUUAUAUAAAGUCAUUAUAUUAAUGUCUUACUGUUGAACGAGUUGGAAAAUAUUGAAUAUAUUGUCUAUAAACUCUAGGUGGAAAAAUAAUACUCCAUCCGUCCCAAAUUGUAUGUCGCUUUAGGGAAAAAAAAUUGUCCAAAAUUGUAUGUCGCUUUACAAUACCAAUACAACUUUAAUGUUAUUUUUCCUAUUAUAACCUUAACUAUUUAUUAGUCUCUUAUUUCAAUUCUUUCAUUUAUUUUUCCCAUAUUAUUUAUUAAGGACAAUUUUGUAAAACAACUCAUAAUAUAUAUUUUCCACACAAUAUUAAUUGCAUUUCUUGAUAUGUGUGAAAUGCCAAAAACGUCAUACAAUUUGGGACGGAGGGAGUAUUUUAUUUAAGAAGGAAAUUUCAAAAUUGACUCAAGAAUUAUUUAAGAGUUGUGUUAUUUGAACAUCCAUUUAUAUGACAACUUUUGAGACAACCAAUAUUUUACAAAGAAAAUGAGGUAUUGACACAAAAACAAAAACAAUAGAGAGAUAAAGUAAAAAAUUAAUGUAAACAUGAGAGAGAAAAUUGUCAUAAAAAUUAUCAAAAAAUGGUUGUUCAAAUAUUAUUUCUCAUGACUCCCGAAAAAAAAUGCAACACUGGUCACCAUUCUGCCAACCACCUACAAACACAUGUCAAUAUAGUUGUUAAAAAAUAAAAACCCUUUUAUAUGAUCUCCUACGGUAGGAGACCUAUACCCCUCUCCUACAGUAAACGCCACCAACUUUGGGAACCAAACUUAGCCUAAACGUACGCCACCAAAAAUUGCACAGUGACACAAUUAGGGGUGUACAAAACUCAGUUUAUUUUGUCUCCUAGGCUAUGGGUCAUGUCUGACUCUAACCAAUAAAAAGAUAAAAAUAAAAAGGAGUCCAAAGAAUUUGUCCUGGUGGCCGGAAGCAGGGGCGAAUGCUUGUACAGGAGAGGGGUAGCUAUGGCCACCCCAAAAAAAUAAAUUUUAUUGAGUUAGUAGGUAUAUUUUUAUGUUUAGCUACCCCUAAUAAUAUAUAUUUGGCUACCCCAAGUUCGAUUUUAGGUGCAAUAACUUUUUAUAACUUUGGUUACUUUCGGGUGGUCACCUCAUAAAAUUAUUGCUAGCUUCGCCGCUGGCCGGAAGGAUGGACCGAGUCUAGGUUGACAUGCGGAUCACCCAUUUUACCCAUUAGUUUGUGAGGACAUGAACUUUUUUAUUACUUGCAACUCGUCUCACCUUCUCUUCCCUACUCGAGUUACACAUUUGUCGAUAUAUCUUCACUUCCCUACUCGAGUUACACAUUUGCCGAUAUUUUCUUUUGUUUGUUUGACAAAACAUUUGCCGAUAUAUGUUGUUUCAUACGGUUUGACUCUAACCAAUAAUUAGAUUUAUGAGAAAUGAUAAUUUAACAAUCAAAAAGUUGUCCCACACCAUAUAUUGAUACGGUUUUAUGUACAAACUUAAUUUUUUACUAUUUCUUACAAUCUUGAAAUCUGUGCAUGCUUAGAAUUGCUUGAUGGAAUCUAUACGGUGGUGGAAGCAAGGUUGUAGAUUUUUGGUUGUUAAUAUAUCAUUGAUCUAGAUUUAUUGGAUGCGACUUACAUAGUUACAUUAUACAAUAUAUGUUAUAUUCUCGUAUCAUUGAAACUUUGAAAGUAGUUUAUAUUUCAAAAUAUUGGAGUUGCAUUGAACCUCAUGUAUAAGACUGGAGUAGUUUUGACAAAUAAAUUUGUAAAAAGAUUAUGUCAACAUUAUUAUAUUUGUAAAUAUGCUUUACUAUUUGGUGACUUGGGAGACUAACUCGGUCUAAUCCUGCAUGGAUCCGUAUCAAAUUUUAUCUGGUCAAUGAUCGAGUUCAAUUUAAUCUGGUAACUGACAUAAAGAAGAAUCUUGAGGUCUGAAUACGCGUAGCAUUAGCGUCAAGCAACAACUAACUUGAUAGCAUGUUUGGUGAUUUGAAACCUGUCUUGCACUUCUCACGUCAAGGACCACUUGAACUUUAUUUUACGGACAAUAUAUUGCACAUGUUUUCGGCUUUUGGGCCCAUGGGCUUAUUCUCAUCUCAUGCCUUCGGUUGAAAUUUGGGAUCUAACUCAUACUCAUAAAACCGGCUUAUAAGGUGAGGAUUACCUCCUCUUUAUAUACUCUUCUCAACUCACGCCCAGCACUCUUUGGGCUUGGUGCGUGAAUAGGUUUAGGCGGCCCUUGAAUUCGACAAGCUCUGAUACCAUGUUGAAAUUUUGGGCCUAACUCAUCCUUACAAAACCGGUUUGUAAGGUGAGGAUUACCUCCUCUUUAUAUACUCUUCUCAAGAGUCUUGUCUAUCUGAUGUGGGACUUGGGUUUUUCCCAAUACCUUCAUAAAGAAAAUUGUUCUUCUUUCUUUUAAAAUUGUUCAUUCUAUUAUUCGGUGGGAGUUAACUCACGCUCGAUAUUUUUUCAGCGGAAGUUAACUAACGCAAACACUUUUAAGAUCGGUUGAAUCGACUUAAAAAAUGAUUGAAUCGAUCUUAAAAAUGUUAAAGUGAGUUAACUUCCGUUAAAAAAUGUCGAGCGUAAGUUAACUUACGUUAAAUUAAGAUAAUGUACAAUUUUAAAAGUAAGAAGAAUAAUCUUCUCUCGUAAAUUGCACACAGAACAAAACUUCACCGCUCCUAUAUCCAUAUUCCAUCUUUUUCAUAUCUUUAUUUCUUAUGAAUAAUUCUAACACAAUCCUGAAAACAUACUCUAAACUUACUCUAUUUUAUUGGUUGGAUUCAUUUAGGUCUCAACAAAUUAUGUAGGUUCAUACAAAUUCUAACCAAUAAAAAAAAUUUAUUAGAAAGUACUAUGUUGUUAAUGAUCCUAAGCUUCUUUUUUUUUUCUUUUUGUAUUUUUGUUAUCAUCAUUGAGGAAUAGAUCAUGCUCCAAAACGUCUUGUGAAUAUAAAUCACUUGGUAGGAUAAUGCAUUAUUAUAUGCAGGGGCUGGAGUUCGAAUCCCGAACACCUCACUUAUUCAUCUUAUAAGAUGAAUUCUAACCACUAAACUACCUGACAAAAGAAAGAAAAAAAAAGAACAUGCUGCAAAACCCAAUUAAAUCCAACGGGUCAGUUUGACUCAUUCAAUUUAUCAAAAUGUUUAAUUGUUACUCCAAUGUGACACAUCUAUUUAAAACCUUGAGUGGCACCAGUUAUGAUUUCACUGUCUUUAGAUCCUACCUCCAGGUUCCAAUGGAAUUAAUACAAAAACGUUGAACCAUCCAUAGGAAGAGUAGGUGUAACGAUGGAUUGGGAUUAAUUAAAGAAAAUUCUAACCCGAAGAUGGGCUCAUCAUCUGUACGUACUGCCUAACUUGGUCACAAUUUCUCAAUUCUCUCUCUCUUUUGCGGUUGGAAUUCGUCUACAGUACUUACAUUGUUGAUAUAAUUUUUUAAUCUCAGUUCCUAUGAAGUAGGAACACUCUUUAGAUUAGAUGUAUUUCGUUGUCGUUGCGGCGUCAGUAUCCAACAGUAACAGAACAUAAUGUCGUUGUCGUCGCGGCAUAAUUUCGUUGUCGUUGCGGCAUCAGUGUCCAACACUGACAGGACAUAACAUCUAAAAUUACACCGAAUGAUGUCCUUCUCUCAAGUUAUUAUUCAUGUAUGCGUGUGUCUAUGUCUGUAUCGUGUCUGAUAUCUUUGUUAGCAUCCAUACUUUGAUUGCACCGUUGUAAAUGGGUCAAAUUGUACGAUUUAUUCGUACAAAUGAUCAACAUUACUUAAAUUAGGUUAUCUCUUUUAGUGAACAAAGUAAUUGAAGUUGCCCUACAAGAUCUGAAACCUGUAGCUAGCAUUUGUAUUGUUCAUUAAUGCAAAUCCAUCAUGUUAAAUUUCUCUGCAAAAAUCUCGAGAAUGGGACCCACCAUCCUCACGCUACUCUGUCAGUCACAAUGCAUGAGCAAUGAACUCCCUUGGAAUUGCUUUCAUAACCGACACACACCAUCAAUAGUAAACCCUUCAUUUCUUUUGUUAGAUUGAACUCUGAGAACUGAGAUCACAAGAGUCAAUGCAGGUGUUAAGACUCAACCAGUGUUAACUAUUCAUCCAUUAAGGAGAUCUCCGAUUUUAUAGAUGAGUUAACUUUUUAUUAACACAGCUCCGGAAACUUUUCAACAAAUAAUACUACAAAAGUCCAAAAACUAAUCCCAAAGUUCCCAAAACAUCUGUACUGUACUGUCAUUUUUCCAAAAGUUUUCUCAUCACUUCUGCUUCCAAACACACUCACGAAUGGCAACCUUUGUGGCUCUUCUUCUUCUACAAGUUCUACUUUUCACACCCCCUUAUGCUAAUUCUCAAAAAAUGAACCCCUUAGAUCUCAAAGCUCUUCUUUCCAUAAAAAACACUCUCACCUCAAUCUCACCCACAAACUCCUUCUUCUCAACAUGGAACUUCACCUCCCCAAAUCCCUGCACCACUUUCUCCGGCAUCACCUGCACCUUCAACCGAGUCACCAUUCUCUCACUCGGUAUCGACAGACACCCCCUCGCCGGCUCACUCCCCUCCUCCAUCUCCUCCCUCACCGAGUUAACCCAGCUCAUACUCUCCCCCGGAAUCGUAACUGGUUCCAUCCCACCUCAGCUCGCUCAACUCACCAACCUCCGUGUCAUCUCCCUCCCCAACAACCGCUUCACCGGCACCAUUCCCGCCACAUUCUCCUCUCUCACAAAUCUCCACACACUCGAUCUCAGUCACAACCAACUCGCCGGAACAAUCCCACCGUCGCUCACCGCGUUACCACAACUCCGAAUAUUAAUCCUCGCUUCGAACUCCCUCACCGGAACGUUACCGGAAAACGUUUUUUCACCGCUACUUCAUUUGGAUUUGAAAAACAACGUACUAACAGGAACGUUACCAACGUCAUUUCCGUUAUCUCUACGUUAUCUUUCGUUAUCACAGAAUCAAAUGUGGGGUCCACUUACCAACGGAACACUAGAGUCGCUUUCAGAUUUGGAGUUUCUUGACCUGAGCAUGAAUCAAUUUACUGGGCCUAUUCCAGCCCAGCUCUUCUUCAGGCCCAUGCUUUCUUCACUCUUCUUACAACGAAAUUAUCUUUCUGGUGGGCUUCCAUUAAAGCCUGAAGAUGGAGAACCGUUGGUUGGAUCAAACGGUCAAGGUUCGAUAGUUGAUCUAAGUCAUAACUUAAUCAGCGGAGAAUUAUCAACGGUGUUAGAUGGAGUUGAGAGUUUAUUUUUGAAUAAUAACCGUUUGAUGGGAAAGGUGCCUGAAGAGUAUGUCAAGAGCGUGUGUCGCGGUAGCACUCGAACACUCUAUCUUCAGCAUAACUACUUCACGGGGAUACCGUUGAAUGAAGGAAUCGUGCUGCCUGAUACGGUGUCCUUGUGCUUGUCGUAUAACUGCAUGGAACCUCCGGCGAAGCAAAUGACUUGUCCGGCGAAUGCCGGAGAAGAAUUGUCGAGGCCGGCAGCACAGUGCUCUGUGUUUAACAAUGAUGACAGUGGUUAAUUGGAUUAGACUUAGGCAAUUAAUAUGAAGGUUUGAGUAUAGCUUAAUUUUCAAUUUUUAUUUUAUUUUUACCAUUGAUAGUGUAAUAAGAUGUAUUUUAGUGUAGAGAAACGUUAUGUGAUCAAAUGUAUUAUUAAUAUUGUGAUGAAAUGAAAUGAAGCACUUCAAUUAUGUGUUAAUCUUGCUACUGUCGCAUUACAUUUCUAGACUUUUGUGUAAAAAUACGUAUAUCAUCAUAAUCAUAUUGAUUACAUAAUAUAGCAAGCAAUACAUAACGUAAAUAAAUGCAGCAACCACUUGAGGAAGGUCCUAUUCAAUCUGCUUCUUCUAUUUUGAUUCUGGUCUACCCUAAAUUUUAGUGUCAUUUAACUUUCUUCCUAUCUUUUCAGCAAAUUAUGGAUGCACUCUGUCUUGGACCUGACAAUCACAAAAGUUAUGUGUUAGCUCUACAAAUUUAGCUGAGGUUCUUUCUAUUCAUGUAAAUAGUGUUUUAAGUGCAUAUUUGAAUUUGCGGUGAGGUUGACAGAAUCACAAUGAGCAACCGGACCGUAAUUUUGCAAAAGCUAUAGAGUGUGGCUUUUACAAAAUUACUUUGCCUCACUAUGUAAUUUUGUCAAACCCACCGCCGUGAUAUCAAACAUAUAUAAAACAUCAUAGAACAAAAAAAAACUUAAAUGUGAUAAAGAAAAUAAGGUUUUAGUAAAAGUAUUGACAAAGAAAGAGCUCAAUUUUCACUUACCUCAGUUGGAAAAUCCCACAACCACAAACACAUUAUUAAGGAACCGAAAAUAAGUGUGCCUCCAAGCGCUGUUGAGGAAUAGAGGACCACAAAUACACCAGAAACCCACUGCAAAUCCAACACCCAACCCAAAGUAGAGUGAUUGUGUAAAAGAAUUCUCAUCAUUAUCAAUAUCAUUGUGUCCUCCAUGUAGGUAUGACCCAUGAUCACAUAUUGGUAGAGGAGCUCCACAAAGUCCAGGAUUCCCAACAUAGUAGGAAGCAUCAAAACUUUGAAGUUGAGUCCCAACUGGGAUUUGCCCAACAAGGUAAUUGUUUGACAGAUUCAAGAAACUCAAGAAGGACAAAGUUGAUGUGGUAACAGGAAUUCCUCCAACAAGUUUAUUGUCGGAUAGAUCAAGAGAUUCCAAGUUUUUCAUGUCUCCGAUGUCUCUUGGUAUCUUUCCUGUGAAAUGAUUUCGAGACAAGUUCAAUGACUUGAGUUGAACUAGAUUGAAAACUUGUGAGGGGAUUUCACCUGAUAAGUUGUUAGCUGAAAGGUCAAGAGUUCUCAACAGUCCAUAGUCAUAAUACUCUAAGUCUCGCCCUUUUGUAUACAAUUUGAACUCAAAUGGAUAAUGACUCGUUUUCUUUGCUCCACCCAUGCCAGUGAUGUUACUUAUGCAUUUGGGAAUAGACCCUGAAAGUUUAUUGUGGGAAAGAUCCAAUUGUAUCAGUGAUGAGAAAUUGCACAGUUGUGGUGGAAUGUUACCUUCAAACUGGUUUGAUCUCAAUAUCAUCACCUCCAUACUACGUGGCAUCUUCACUGGUACGGUUCCAGAGAAAUUGUUUUCUCCAAUAUUAAUGAAUUGCAAAUUUGUUAUGUUAGAUAGGUCCAAUGAAAAAUUACCAGACAAGCUGUUGUUAUGCAAAUCCAGUAUUAUGAGAUCGAUAAACAAGUCCAUGGAUGGAGGAACUUCACCAGUUAGCAUAUUACUUUCCAUGAAAAGGAAAGAUAAGCCUUUCCAAUACUCCCAACAAUCAGGAAUUUCUCCGGUUAAAAGAUUGAAUGAAAUGUCCAAAUAAUCCAAACUAUUUUCCCUACCUAAUCUGUGGCAGAACAUAGGGGAAAUGGUUCCAAAGAAAGAAUUGUGUGACAAAUCCAAAUAGAUGACAUUUGCUGAUAUAUGUGGGAGCCCUCCUCUGAAAUUAUUGUGGUCCAUAAAUAGAAGUUCCGAGUUUAGCGUGACAUUUGAUAAGUCUGCACUCAUGCUGUUGUUAGACAAGUUAAGGUGUGUAAUAUUAGUUACAAAUCUCCAAAAUAUGUCUCCAUCUAUGGAUGAAACUCUAGAGUUAGGAAUCUCAAGAUAUUCUAGUGACCUUUGUGUAUAUAUCCAUGUUGGAAACUUAGGACCUAGAAUUGUAUUGCUUAAACUUAUCCCGUUCAAUUGAAAUGGAGGAAUCCAUUUAGAAUCCAUAUCAAAUGAAAUCGGUGCACUCAAGACCAAUGUUUCUAAACUAGAGAGAUUGGAAAAAUGUAUUUCAGAUAGAACACCUGACAAGGAACUUCCUCCAAUGACCAAACUCUUCAAAUUAAAGAGUUUUCCAAUGCUGGUUGGAAUAUUACCGGUCAGAAAAUCGGAGCUAACACUUAAGUCAACCAAGGAAGAGAGUUUUCCAAGAGAUGAAGGGAUAGAACCGCGAAACAUGUUCUCAGCUAGACCAAGGUAUUUUAAAUUUUCAUGUUGCCCUAACCAAUCAGGAAUAGAUUCAUUUAGUUCAUUGUUACUCAACCUUAAAGUUUCAAGUUUUCGAAGACUUAACAAGCUCUUUGGUAUUUGUCCUUUUAAAAAAUUGAAGCUAAGGUCAAUAUGGGAGAUAUUCAUAUCGUUGCCGUGUUCAAACAACCAAGCAGGUAAUUCAGAAUCGAAAUGGUUUGCUGAGAGAUCAAGAGUUGCAAGUGAAUUAGUAAAACUCACAUGCUUAACGGAUGCAAAGAUAUCGGUCAAAUGACAACUUGAUAAUCUCAGUUCUAACAAUGAUACAUGCAACAUAUCUAUGGACUGAAGCCAGUUUGUUUGGUUUUGAAGAUUAAUUUGACUAAGGUUUAGAGAUUUGAGUGAAGAAAAUUUGGAAAGCCAAUGAAGAUUAUCCAAGUGAAGAUCAUCGUUAAAGGAUAAGUCUAGGUACUGAAUAUUAGACAAAUUAUUAUUAUUAUGAUCAUUUGAUUGGUUGAAACUACUUAGAGUUGUAAAGCCAUUCAAGCUUAAGUCUAAGUAGGUCAAAAAUUCAAUUUGAAACAAAGACUGCAAGUUGAUUUCACCUUCCAAGUAUUGUUGGUGUAGAUCAAGUGUUGUAACUCUACCUGUGAUGUUGUCACAUUGAACUCCUUUCCAUGAACAACAAUUUUUUUCAUUAAUGGACCAAGAGGAAAGCUUGUUGGAGGAAUGAUUCUCCACACCAAGUUUGAAGAGCAGCAAUGCAGAACGAUCCUUCUCAUUGCAGUUACUAAUCCCAAGUUGUGUAUUGCUACUAUUGCACCUUUCAAAUAUUGUUGUAGAUAGCAAUAAUAGCAGUAGCCAAACAAUGGGAAUCUGUGAAGUGAAGCCUAACAUGGUUGAUAUUAUUUAGUUUGAAGUGUUACAAAUUUGUGUGGGUGGUGGUGAUGGGUUUUAAAGGGUUAAGUUUGUUGGUGGUGUUUCACUAUCACAACUCUAUCUAUUUCCUAUUUCCACAACCAUGUGGACGUAGCACUACUUAAAAAUAAGAAAUAUUCAACAUUGGUUCGUGCGUUGAUUAUUCUCCAAUAAAAAGAUAGGUCAAUUCAUUGGGAGGGGAUUGUCUCCUAUGAAAGUUUCAUCCAAUGAAAUCUCCUCCACUCAUUUUUAUUUUUUUGCAAUAUGUAAUUUAAAUUAUUUAAAAAAAAAAUUAAGGGUAGGGAUCAGCGUCAGUGAAUUUCAAAUGGGAGAGGAUUCGUGCCUCAAUUCAUUUGGGUAAAAGAGAUUGAGUAACAGCUAACUUUUAAAAAUAAGAGGGUUAAUUUUUUGUCCAAAAUCACCUAGAUCACUUUUUCCUAUUCUUUUGUUUGAAUAACUUAUUUUCACGUGUAUUUACUUUUAUUUUGUCAUCUUAAUUAAUGUUCAUUUGAUUUGUUUGCCGUCUUGGUGCAAUAUUGUUUUGUUUUUCCUUCUCGUUGCCGUGUUUGUUCGGUUCAGAACAAUAUAUAUAUAUAUAUAUAGAGGAGGGAUAUUUUGACUCCAAGAGUAAGUCUCUAAACUUACUCCAAAUCUUUGCCCUUAAUUCUUUUUAAUCUAACGGUUUUAAAAUUUAUUUAACAUGAACCCCUUUUCGGUUUUCUUCCACUAAACACAGUAUUUCAAUUCUUGAAUUUGUUUCAACUUUUUAUCACAAAACAAUUUUCAGAUCUUUUUAUCGCACAGUAUAUGCAUGACUAAUUCAAAUUAUUAAUUCAAUUGCCAACAAUAAUUAUCCACAAGCAUCUCACCUCUUCAAUUGGUACAUAUGGAUAGCCUAAGAAUUUUGUGUUCAUCCAAAGAGAAGAAGAAUGAAUCUAAAUGAAAAUUGACGAAAUAAAUACGUUUUGGGAUUUAUCCAAGUUUAAAAAACCACUCUUAAAGAAUAAAAAAUGGAGACAGUAUACAUAUGACUAUGAUUUGAAAUCAAAUUUUCAAAUCAUGAAACGGAGAAGGUUUAUAUCUAUGAUGAUGAUCAUGAGUUUAAUGUUGUCUGCCGUUUUGUCAUGACAAGCUUUUGCAGCGUUAAGCGUUUUGCCGUUUUCCAGUGCAGAAAAGAAUUAAACCUCACCCUAACAAUUACUAUUAUUCAAUCCUAACCAUUAAUUGAUAUUGAGAUUAAGGAUCAAGAUUUGGAGUAAGUUUAGAGACUUACUCUUGAAGUCAAAAUAUCUCUCCUCAUAUAUAUAUAUAUAUAUAUAUAUAUAUAUAUAUAUAUAUAUAUAUAUAUAUAUUAACUUUGUUUCAAUGCAACUUCAAUCAAUGAUUUUAAUGUCUUAAAUAUUACAAAUCUGAAUACAUGAGUAUUUCAGACAAUUUAAGUUCUUCAUAAUUGUAGACAUUUUACUAUUGUAUGUUAAUAGUAUAUAUGUUGUGAGUUUUUCGCGAAUUCAAUCCGUAUUUUAACGAUUUAGAAUUUGUGUUGUUUGAUGUAUUUCUAUUAAAAAAUUAAUAUAAAUUGAACUUAAAUUUUGUUAACAAUAUUCGGCUAAUAAUAUGGCAAAUCCCAUAACUGUUUACAAAUUGAACCGUGUACCACUAGUAUUCAUAAAAAAACAGCAGCAUUAAGCUAAAAAUAUGGAAAAUCCAAUUAUCACCCCAACCAUAAUUCUUGCAAAGUAACCCAUGUUUUGUAGCUCCAGCUGGCGGACCCUGGCAAAUGAUUACCGUUGGAGUUGCUCUAACAAAUUUUAAGUUUGGAUAUCACACCUAAUAAAUGUAUUUUAAAUUAAGAGUCUGCUUAUUUUAACUUUUUAAAAAAGAAAUUUAAAAGUGUAUCAUUUUUUUCUAUAAUUUUUUUAACAAAGAAUAUGUAAAGAAAGCUUUUAAUGAGAAAAUGGUUUAAGUUUAACCAACUUGUCGUAAAAAGUCCAUUGAAGUAUUUAAUAGUUUUCCAAUGACUUUUUCUAACUUUGAAAGUUGCUUGACUCCUUUGAUUCGCUGUGCAAGUGACAUAAUGUCGAUAUGUCUAUCAAAGAGUUCAUUUCUACACUUACUACUUUACUAGUACCCCUAACUUAGAAGACACGUUUUAUUAUAGUUGGGCACCCCCGUUACAAAAUUUCUAUGAAGUAUGAAGGCAGAUCUUGUCCAUGCAAAGUGAAAACAUUGUCAUUGAAUCAACUCCUUAUUCCACGUUGACUGCUUCAAUUCCUUUCGAAGUUGGGUGAAAUAUUACAUCAUCUUGCCUUGUUAGAAACAUUUAUGUUGAAGAGAAUUUUUCUCUCAUCCUACUAACUUCUCACACGUUUUUUAAUUGAUCAUUUUCGGAUUAUAAUCAGAACCGUGUUUAAUAAGCUUUUUCAUUAUAAUAACAAAAAUUAUUAAAUGAAAUAAAUAAAAAUGAUAAAACUUAAAAACAAAUAAUAUAAAUGGACAGAAUUCAACACAUUUUUUUACCAAUAAUUCAUAAUAUAUUACAGAAGAAGGUUUAACUCACGAUUUUCACACAUGGCAGCAUCCGUAAUCUGGUACAUAAUAUCAAUAUGGACCGUCCCUUCAAAAAAAAAAAAAUCAAUAUGGACCGAUUUGUUAUCCCAUAAUUCCAAUAAUAAUAAUAAUAGCAACCAAUUAAACCCAAUAAUUAGUGGGACGAAUAAAUUAGUAACAAAUGGGACAAAUUAAACCAGCCAAUGGAAGAAAUGUCGACGUUCCAGAUUUAUGGGCUUGGUUUCGUUUGAAAGAAAGUCGUAGACUUCCAAUUUUAGAGGCAAGUAGGAGAAAGAAGCAUAUCAACAAGUUGAAUAUAAACCAUAAAGUUAACAACCUUAGCUCAAGGGGAGUUGAGUGCAUUUUCUAAACUGGACGGGGUGUGAGUGUCUUUUAAUGAAACUUUAGGAGAGAUUUGUGUAAUUUUCCCGAUUAAUAAUGGAGAUUUAACCUCACAAAUAUUAAGUUGAGAAGACAUCUGUCAUAAUUUCUAAAAAGCACAUAAAUUGAGGGGGCCUAAAAAGAAAUGUUCAAAUUACAAAGGCUCUUUUCUUGGGCCGCUUGGCCCAUAUGAAAUCAACCCAAACCCAAUCCAAAUCCCAUUUCAGAUUCUCACUUUCUUCCUUCUUGUUCUAUCUCACCCAAAGCUACAAAAUCAUCAUUCGCUUUGCGUUGAGUUCAAUUUCGAUCGAUCUAUCUAUCUCUCUGCUCCUUCUAUCCAUUUCUAUUCAUUGCCAAAACCCUACGGUAAAUCUCUCUCUCUCAAAUUACUCAUGUAGCUAUGAUAGAGAUUAAACGACGCCAUACCUGGAUCUCUCUUUUUUUUUUUCUUUUUUUUUUUUUCUUGCUAAUUUUUGUUUUACUUACAUUUUUUUGUUCUUACUUUACUGAUGUGAUUAAUACACCGUAAUUUGGUUUACCUAGUGUUUAAUUUUUUUCCUUAGCUGAUUUGUUUUGUUUUGUUCUUAUUUCAUUUAUGCUUCAUGAUUAAUGGAUCUGAUUUAAAACCUUUGGUUUUGUACUUUGAUGGUUUUGUUUGCAUGCAAUUAGUCAAAUUAGUUCAUGAAAUUGCAAUGUCCUUCGUAUUAGACUUUUAGAAAAGAAAAUUAUGAUAAAGGUUUUUGGAUUUAGUUUUUGAAUGUGCAUUUAAUGGUUGAGUUAGUGCCUGCGGUAUCGACAAAAUUAGACUUUAAACUUAGAUUUGGUUGUUAGGAAAUAAUGUUAAUGAUUCCGUAUAUUGUCAUUAAAACCGGUGCUGUCAGUUUGUUUGAACCUGUUUGACCGUGAACUGAGAUCCGGUCUUAGUUUGGUCACAUGUUUGAAUUUUUUAUGUUAUCACGUCAUACCCUGUGGUUAAACCCAAACCAGAUAGAACUGGCUCCAAAGAUCCCGCUGAGUGAAAAUAUGAACAUUCUGUGGUUUUGUCUUGCGGAGCUCCUUGUACAAAAGUUCAUCCGUAGUCAAACAAUGUAACACACAAAAGCCUAGUUGUACACAUACUUAGGAGAAGGAGAAAGUUUGUUGUGGGAAGGAGAUGCAGAAGGAAAAAAAAGAUAUGGAGAAAGACAUUGUGGUAUGUUUGAUGUGUGUGGCGGCUAUUGUAUGCAGAAGACGACAAAGAUAUUUUGCGGUUAUGUUUAUGUGGGCUUUUUGUACUUGACCACUUUACUACACUUUAAUUUCGAGAAUAUAUUCACUUGGCCACUUCACUACACUUUAAUUUUGAUAAUAUAUUCUAUACUGAGUCAUGUUUCACCAAAAUAAAUAUAUACCGAGUCUUGCAAUUUAACUAGUAAGCCGCCGGUUUGACCAAUGACCCAUUUACGCAGUAUCCUAACCAAAAGUAGACGGCAUCUCCGAGUUUAAGACCAUUGAUCCGUAUUUUUAGAUUCUAAUUUCAUGAUUUGUUUAUUUUAAUAAAAUCAUCUUUAGCAUUUAUUGUCGACUUUUACUCUUAUGGAGAUUUGUUAUUGAAUUUGUUGCUGUUCGUGUUAUAUGCAUGUGUGUUGUUUCUUUCGUUAGACAGUCGUAUUAAUCCUUAAAACUCUAAACCCUACAACAUUGUUCAUAUCGGUUCACGAAUAACACGAAAUAUGCUAAAUUUCCCUGAAUGAAAUUUUGUCUGUGUAUUAAGUUUUCAUGAUAUCAAAUGUGAAGACUAACUUGACUGAAAUAAUAUACAAUAAGGGACUUUGUGGACUAAUAUGACCAACAGGCAACAGUAUAUAUAUUUCAAGGGCUAAUUUGAUUAUUUACUCAUCUUAGUUUAAUAUUGUUUAAAAACUGCUAUGGCAUCUGAUGUUAAUAUUUUUGCUCCUAUCUAGAUUUGAUAUCACUGUUGGAAUUAGCUUUGAUUCACGGAAAACUUCUCAGCAUCUGCAGUUGUCUUGCGUUCAAGGAAAUGGAGUUACCAACUCUGAGAAAACCUUUCAUCUACUGGGUUUUCUUUUCUUUCACUGUGUUUGCUCAAGUUAGCAAUGGGUUUUAUCUUCCGGGAAGCUACAUGCACACUUAUUCCAAUGGAGAAUAUAUUAAUGCCAAAGUCAAUUCGUUGACAUCUAUUGAAACCGAGCUUCCCUUCAGUUACUACAGCCUCCCUUACUGCCAACCCCCUGGUGGAAUAAAGAAAAGUGCUGAGAAUCUUGGAGAACUUCUUAUGGGUGAUCAGAUUGAUAAUUCACCCUACCGAUUUCGAAUGAAUAAAAAUGAGACUCUCUACCUCUGUACAACAGCACCAUUAAAUGAGCACGAGGUAAAGCUACUCAAACAAAGAACUCGUGAUCUGUAUCAAGUGAAUAUGAUCCUUGACAACUUGCCAGUUAUGAGGUAUACUAGCCAAAAUGGGGUUAAAAUCCAGUGGACGGGGUACCCUGUUGGGUACACUCCAUCUGAUGGCGGUGCAGAUUACAUCAUUAACCACCUGAAAUUCACUGUAUUGGUUCAUGAAUAUGAAGGUAGAGGGGUCGAAAUUAUUGGGACUGGGGAGGAAGGUUUGGGCAUUAUUUCUGAAGCUGACAAGAAGAAGGCAUCUGGGUAUGAAAUAGUUGGUUUUCAUGUUGUCCCAUGUAGUAUUAAAUAUGACCCCGAAGCCAUGGCAAAGCACAAAAUGUAUGAUAGUAUCUCUUCUGUAAGCUGCCCAAAUGAGCUCGACAAAUACCAGGUAAUAAAAGAGCAAGAGAGGAUAUCAUUCACAUAUGAUGUUGAAUUUGUGAAAAGUGAUAUAAGAUGGCCAUCACGUUGGGAUGCUUAUUUGAAGAUGGAGGGUUCUCGAGUUCAUUGGUUCUCAAUCCUAAAUUCACUGAUGGUUAUUAUUUUCCUUGCUGGCAUUGUUUUUGUCAUUUUCUUAAGAACUGUAAGAAGGGAUUUGACAAGGUAUGAGGAAUUGGACAAAGAGGCACAAGCUCAGAUGAACGAGGAGCUUUCUGGGUGGAAACUUGUUGUAGGUGAUGUAUUUAGGGAGCCUGAAUGCUCAAAGCUUCUGUGUGUAAUGGUUGGAGAUGGGGUUCAAAUUCUUGGAAUGGCAGGUGUUACUAUUGUUUUUGCAGCACUUGGUUUCAUGUCUCCAGCAUCCCGAGGGAUGCUACUAACUGGGAUGAUCAUUUUAUAUCUUAUCCUUGGAAUUGCCGCUGGCUAUGUCAGCGUACGUCUAUGGAGGAUCAUUAAGGGAACAUCAGAAGGGUGGAGAUCAGUUUCUUGGUCUGCUGCAUGUUUUUUUCCUGGCAUUGCUUUUGUUAUCCUUACAGUACUCAAUUUUAUUCUAUGGAACAGCAACAGUACUGGUGCUAUACCUAUUUCCUUGUAUUUUGAGCUGUUCUUCCUCUGGUUCUGUAUUUCAGUACCUCUGACCCUCAUUGGCGGAUUUAUGGGGACAAAAGGAGAGCCAAUCGAAUAUCCUGUAAGGACCAAUCAGAUUCCAAGGGAAAUUCCUGCAAGGAAAUAUCCAUCUUGGCUUCUUGUUCUUGGUGCUGGAACUCUUCCAUUUGGAACCCUCUUCAUUGAGCUUUUCUUUAUCCUCUCUAGCAUCUGGCUCGGGAGGUUCUAUUACGUGUUUGGUUUCCUGUUGGUUGUUCUUCUAUUGCUGAUUGUUGUUUGUGCCGAGGUGUCGGUGGUGCUUACAUAUAUGCAUCUGUGUGUGGAAGAUUGGCGGUGGUGGUGGAAGGCAUUCUAUGCUUCCGGUUCUGUUGCUCUUUAUGUAUUCUUGUACUCCAUUAACUACUUGGUUUUCGACCUGCAGAGUUUGAGUGGACCUGUGUCAGCUACCCUUUACCUUGGCUAUUCACUACUCAUGGCAAUUGCAAUCAUGUUGUCAACUGGCACCAUUGGCUUCCUUAUGUCAUUCUACUUUGUGCACUACUUGUUCUCAUCAGUGAAGAUAGACUGAGGUUCUGGCUGUAUCUCUUAUUACCCAUGUAAAAGAUCAAUCAAUUGAUAUAACUUCUACCGAGUUCUUUUUGUAGCUUGAUUGCAUUGCAGAAUAGGGUGGAGGCUGAUGCUUUAGUGAUUGCCUUAAACAAUCAUCAAUCAAUUUUAUAAUGCAAUGCGGUCUGCAGUUCGUCUCUGAACAUAGUCAUUCAAGGACUAGUGUUUGAGCUCAUCAUGUUUCAAGUACUCUAGUUUAUCUAAGUUUCUUUAGGAAGUUGUAAUUUAGUCUGUGUUACAUUUCGUUUCAAUAUAUAGAAAAUUGUUAGAUGGAUAAUCAGCUUUCAAUGUGAUGUUCAUUAUGUUUGUGGGUGUUUUUAUAUCUUCUAUUCGUUCAAGGAUAGGGAGGAAGACCAAGUAUUAUACUUAUGAUGAUUUAUUCUUAUUUUAUCUAUACCUAUUGUCCACAAGCCACAAUUUUGGCUUGUAUUGUACUUAUAAUAUUAUUUUUUUUGCGAAAUUAUUUUAUAACUUGAUGCUUGUAGAUUUUAGUUGAUAAUACUCUAGAUAUGGAAAAAUGAAAAUAUUGAAUAGGAGCCUUGGCACAAUAUUUGGAUGCCUCUGUGAGGUCACACUCACGGGUUAAUGUAAGGGUACCUACUACAAUAGAUUCACAUUUCCCUUGAUCCCUACUGUGGUGGAGCUCUGUAUGUUGCACUUUAUAUGGGAAAAUAUUAAAUUCUAGAAGAAUAUAGUUAGUAUUCCUAUGGCACUCUGUUUUACAUCUUGUGUGUGUGUGUGUGUGUUUUAAUAGCAUAAUCUAUUUAAUGCAUAUAUGUGAGUUUGUGUUUUCUUUAGUUUUCACUUUUCAUAUAAUUAGUUGCAUUAGUGAUGCAGUUUUUAAUAUCAAGCUGCAGAUAUUGUUAACGAUUAAUUGAUUAUGCUGAAGGAUUUCUCAAGCAAUUUAGCAAACGUUUGUCUAUAUCAGAUACAUCUGUCAAAAUUGAGUUUACCUUGUGUCCCUCCCAAAGGCUACACUCAGUGGUAGAGCAAUUUGUUUUUUUUUUUUUUGUGACAUUUUUAUGUGUAUUAGAAUGUGUGUCGUUAACAUUUCUUAGAAAUGUUUAAUGAUGUAAACAGACAAUUAUGGUAUGACACAGGAUCAGUUUCUUCCGAACCUCAAUAGUCAAUACUUUGUUGUCACAGUAAACUUUUAUAAACUUAAGUUUAUAAAAUAAAGUUGAAUCAAAUUGACGUUUGCGAAUUUUAAACCCAAACAUGCACUAAAAAUUUCUGAUAAGAGCAUAUAUAUGUUUCCAACGCCAAACCUCUAUUUACGAAAAAGAUAAAACAAAGACAACCAAAAGUUUGUUAUGACCUCAUGUUAUUCCGAAAAUAAAUGAUAUUUGUACCACUUUUUGACAACUUUUGAAACAACAUUCUCUCUCAUAUUCACAUAUAUUUUUAUUCUCUCUUCUUCUUUCUUUCUCCGUUGUUUUUGUCCAAUAACAAGAGCAGAAAAGUGAUGAUCACCAAAAUUAUCUAAUAUUAGUUGUACAAAUAUCAUUCCUCUAUUCUGAAAGAUCCAAUGUUACCAAAAAUGUAUCCUAAUUCUUGGUAGGAAGUUAAGGUUAUGAAAACAACAAUAAUUUAUAUAGAAAAAUACACAUGAUAGGAAUUAUUAUUUGACCGUACAUACAAUACAAUAGAAAUGUUAAGAAUACUCUUCUUAAUAUUCUUUAUUUUUGACACAAUUAAUACUCUUUAUUUAUAAUUGAUUCAUCAUGAAAUGUCAAUAUAUUUUUUUAAAUAUGACUUUGUAGGGUAAUAAUAUCAAUCUUUUUUUUUUUGACCAAAUAAUAUCAAUCUUUUAAAAAUAAGAUUUAUGUGCAUUGAAAUGAGAUAUGCAUGUUCAUUGUUUUGUAAAGGCAGAAUUUCAACGAUCCUCCUUCACCCAUCCGGGUUUUGUAAUCUAAUAAUCUAUAUAAUUUAAGGAAGACAAAAAAGAACGGUCCAAAUUGCAAAUCAUAAACCAAACAUACCUCUACUCUCUAGCGGACAAAUAUUGCUUUGAUACUUUCACGUGAUCCCAUUGCAAUUUGCAGAACCCUUUCCUCUAGCCUUAAAGAAUAUCCACUUAAUUAGUAGUAUAUCUUUCGUGUCACUUUCUCCCAGCGAAAGUUGUUUUUCUACAGAUGAUAAAUUAAAUAAUACACAAGUCUUUACAAUUUUAAACACAAAAAAAGAUUCAUUUUUCUGCAAGGGGGAAGUGACAGGAAAAAUAUUGCAGAAGAUUUAGCCAUAGUCGAUAUCUUAUAGCUUUUAUUUUAUUUUAUUAUUGGUCUAGUAGAUAAUACAAUACUCAAAUAAACAUAAAAAGGGGAGUGUGGUGAAUCGAGAUUGAACCUGAAAUCCUACGUAAAAUAUCAUCACAUUCAAAUAACUAGGUUGAAACUAUGCUAAAAUAUAAGUAUUGAACAUAACAAUAUAAUAUUAGGUAAAACAACACAAAAUAAAUUUUUAUAGUAUCGAACAAUUUUUGUUGUUUUAUACAAUAUUUCCUCCGUCUUAUAAUAUAAGUAAAAAAAAAUUCAUUUUCUUUGUCCCGAAAUAUAAGCAAAAAAGACAAACUUUUAUCCUAUUUAAUCUUGUUUUUCUAAAAAAAUCUCUUUUUCAAGAAUUAUUUUGUUUAUUCUCAUAAAAUUAAAUGCAAAUUACAUUCAAUUUUAUCGCUCUUUUUCAUUUUUUCUAUAACCAAUAGCCAAUGAAAAUUGUGUUUACAUCUUCCUAUAAAACUUUUUCCAAAGAAAACACAAAAAAUUAUACUUCAAAUUCUUAUGUUUUAGUUUUUUUAAUAAGUAUCAUUUUUUUUUCAUUUCUUAUAAUUUGGGGCGGAGGGAGUAUUGGUGGGCAAAAUACUAUUUCUGUAUUUUGGACAACUUAUACGUAAGACAAAAAAUUGUGUUAUGGUUUAAUGAGAGACAUGAAUUUCAAUUCUUAUCAUGUCCCUUGCACCCUCGAGUUGUUGUCUCGUCACUCAAUCAUUUUUACAAUCAAACUCAGUACAAUUAGAGUUGUUCUAUCCUUUAGUUUUUAGCAUAUUAAACACAUCCUACAAACUUAUAUCAUUUAUUUAUUUUUUGAACAAGCUUAUAUCAUUUAAGUUUAGGAAAAUAUUUGUGCAUUCUAGACAUUGAAACAACAAAAAUUAAUUUUUUCUACAUAAAAUUAAUCAUUUAUUUUUAUUUUUAAUGUGUUCUGCCUUAAGGACACUCGCUAGCACAACCCUUUGUAGCUUAUCAAUUUCCUUCUCAAAUUUACCAUUGCCAUCUUUAUUAAUCAAAAGAAAUUAAAAUAUUAAUUAAAUCUAUCCUUUUUACCUCAUUUUAUAUUUAUUAGUAAUUAAGAUUUUUUUUAUGCUUAAUUACACUUUUGGUCUCCGCAUUUUGACCAACUCACGAAAAUGGUCCUGCCUCUUUCAAAUCAAACAAACCCGUCCCUAAACUAUAUGUUUUUUUUUGCAGUUUUAGUCCUACCUCUUAUUUUCAACUCCAGAAACGCAGAGAAAUGACCGUUUUAGACCUACCCCCUAUGCUCAGCCAUGAAAUAAAGAAGGAAUAAAGCAUGUGGGUACAAUGAAUCCACUUUAUUCAACACACUAACCAAAAAAUCCUAAUUUCUAAGAUAUGUUUCAAAUUAGGGUUUUUUUAGAUAGAGUAGAUUCUUUGUAUCCACAUGCUUUAUUCCUUGUUUAUUUCAUGGUUGAGCAUAGGGGAUAAGUCUAAAACUGCCUAAAACUGCCAUUUCUCUACGUUUCUAGAGUUAAAAAAUAGAAGGUAAGACUAAAAAUGUAAAAAACAUGAUAGUUUAGGACGAUUUUGUUCGAUUUGAAAGAGGCGGGACCAUUUUCGUGAGCUGAUCAAAAUGCGAGGACCAAAAAUGUAAUUAAGCUUUUUUUUAUCAAAUAAACUAAUGGCUGGAGCUCACACAUUUUAAAUAUAAAGAAGUAGGGUGUUCAAAGUCCCUAUAUAUAACAUACAAUGUCCUUAAAAAAAAAAACAUACAAUGUCGCUACAAACUAAGCUAAACACACGGAUAAACCAACUAAUUUUUUUUUUUUCCUUUCUUAAACAACAUAAAUAAAUAAAUAAAGUGGUAUAUAUGGGGUAAAAAUCGAAUCAUGAAUGAUGAAUAUAUUAUAAAUAAAUAAUAAUAAAUAAACAUUGUACCAAAAAUAACAUAAGUAAGAGAUGAAUGUAGAGCCACACAUUGAUUUAUUUCUUUGUCUUUGCAUUGCAAUUGCAACAGAGUGAGUGAGAGAAUUCACACACACUCAGUACAGACCUCGAAGAGCCAUCUAUAUGGCUUCAAUGGCUUCGAUCGGUGUUCUCAAAGUACCUUCUUCUUCAUCCUCAUCUUCUUCUUCAUCAUCAUCCAAAGCCAUUGCACGCAACCUCUCAUUCACUUCAUCACAGCUCUGUGGUGAUAAGAUCACCACAGUUUCAACAAGAAGAAGCUAUGGAUGCAGCAAACCCUUCAUUGUUUCUCCUAAGGCUGUUUCUGAUUCCAAAAACUCUCAGACUUGUCUUGAUCCAGAUGCUAGCAGAGUUAGUUGACUUGUCUUUACUUUUGUUUUCCGACUUUGACUAUUUUUGGUUUGAGUGUAGUGAGAGAUAGAGAAAGUGGGGUAUGUUUGAAAUGAGAAAAAUCAAUCUUUUGUUUGUUUUCGCAAUGUUUUAGCAAUUGGGUAUGCAUAAUUGGAGUUUGUUGAUGAUGGGUUUUCUUGAAUAUUGUAAUGUGUUUUUGGGUUUCUUAAAUUAGAUCAGAUUGGAAAAAUGAUGAGUUUUUGACAUAAAAUUGAAAUUUUAAUUGAGUAAGAUGUUACGUGUUUGAUGGGUUGAGUUUCUUUAUUUGAGUUUUUGUAUGUGGUUGGUUCUGACUCAAUUUGUAUGCUUUUUUAAAUAUGUUUUGUUGAGUUUACCUCAUAUGAUUGAUAAUGUCAAGUCCAUGACAUUAUUUGCAUUAUCACACUAAUUUGAAAUGAUCCAAAUCUAUGAAGCACGGAUAAAGACACGGACAGUGACACGCCGACACCGAUAAUAAUUUGAGAAUAUAACAUAAUUCAAUGGAAUCAUAUGUGUCAUUGUCAUGUCGGUGUCGUACACGGACGCAUGUCCGACACGGGGACACACCUAAUCCAAGGAAUGUCCGUGCUUCAUAUUCAAAAUGCAAACUUGCCUGUUUCCUCAUUGUUUGUGCAAUUGAUUAAUGAUUGUGCAUAGUAGGAGUUUGUUGGUACUUGAUUCACACAAUAUUAUCAUGUGGCCUCUGGCUGCUAGAUUGGUGAAACUUGAUGCUAGACCAAUACAAAGCAAGAACUAUUACAUGGAAAAUGUUAACCCUGUAUUUUUAUUUAGGCAUAUUUGUUAGGAACUAUACUUGAAUUUGGCAGGGUCAGUUGUGAAUGUAAUGUAAUGAUUUUUAUGAUGGUUUUCAGAGUGUGCUUGGUAUUAUACUUGGAGGGGGUGCCGGGACGCGUCUUUAUCCAUUGACCAAGAAGCGGGCAAAACCAGCUGUUCCUCUUGGAGCAAACUAUAGGCUGAUUGAUAUCCCUGUCAGCAACUGCCUAAACAGUAACAUAUCAAAGAUCUACGUCCUCACACAAUUCAAUUCAGCAUCCUUGAAUAGGCACUUGUCCCGUGCAUAUGCGAGCAACAUGGGUGGUUACAAAAAUGAAGGUUUCGUUGAGGUUCUUGCUGCACAGCAGAGUCCUGAGAAUCCAAACUGGUUCCAGGUAAUAAGCAACCUUAUUUAUGUUUUCUAUUGUUACUGUUUAUUGCUAUGAUCACUUAUGGUAGUCUAGAACUAUCUUAUGAUUUUGAAUGCUUUCACUAUUACAGGGAACUGCAGAUGCGGUGAGGCAAUAUUUAUGGCUUUUCGAGGAGCACAAUGUUUUGGAAUACUUAGUUCUUGCUGGUGACCAUUUGUAUCGAAUGGAUUAUGAGAGAUUUAUACAAGCACACAGGGAAAGUGAUGCUGAUAUCACUGUUGCUGCAUUGCCAAUGGAUGAAGCACGUGCCACUGCAUUCGGUCUAAUGAAGAUUGAUGAAGAGGGGCGUAUAAUUGAAUUUGCCGAGAAGCCAAAAGGAGAACAGUUGAAAGCUAUGAAAGUGAGGCCAUAUAAUAUGCUCUAUUUUUAUGUUAUUAUUUGUUCUUUAGUUGUAACUGCUUAAAGAUUUCUGCUAUGACUUUUCUGUAUUAGGUUGAUACUACUAUUUUGGGUCUCGAUGACGAGAGAGCAAAGGAAAUGCCUUAUAUUGCUAGUAUGGGUAUAUAUGUUGUAAGCAAACAUGUGAUGCUAGAUCUGCUCCGCGACAAGUUUCCUGGUGCAAACGACUUUGGGAGUGAAGUUAUUCCUGGUGCAACUGAACUUGGGAUGAGAGUAAGAAUUCCUUCUAUCUGUUCAAUACAAAGAAAAUGUGUAUAGUUUUGCUAGAAAAGUUUUUCAGAUCUUUAGCAACUGUAUCAUUGACGUAUUUGUGAAUCUGCUUAGGUGCAAGCUUAUUUAUACGAUGGAUACUGGGAAGACAUCGGUACAAUUGAGGCUUUCUAUAAUGCAAAUCUGGGAAUCACCAAAAAGCCAGUACCGGAUUUUAGGUAAGUCAAUGUUUGGCCUUUUAUUUAUUCAUCCUACUGUCUGUUUUAUUUUAACCAUAAUAACAGUCAGCUUGUGUUUAAUGUUUGUUGGGACAUUGGUUGCAGUUUCUAUGAUCGUUCAUCUCCAAUCUACACCCAACCUCGGUAUUUGCCUCCAUCUAAGAUGCUUGAUGCUGAUAUCACCGAUAGUGUUAUUGGUGAAGGAUGUGUAAUUAAGGCAAGCUUUUCCAAAAAUUUCAUAUUUUUCCUUAGUCCAUUGUUACUAGUAUGGCACAAAUUUGUACAUUUCUUGGCAAAGAUAUCUAAAUGAAUGAGACUAGUUAAUUUUUUGAAAAACAACCUUAUUUUCAAUAUUUUGUUCCACAGAACUGCAAAAUUCAUCAUUCUGUGGUUGGGCUGCGAUCUUGCAUAUCAGAAGGUGCAAUUAUUGAGGACACAUUGUUAAUGGGGGCAGAUUAUUAUGAGGUAACAUUGCUAAAUAGCUGUCACAUUGUUAAGUUAAUAGGAAUUGACUUUAGUUUGACUAGAAGUGCUAACUUCAGUAUUGGUUUUCUGAUUGGUGUGCUGCAGACAGAUGCUGAUAGGAGGUUUUUGGCUGCUAAAGGCAGUGUUCCGAUUGGUAUUGGCAAGAAUUCUCAUAUCAAAAGGGCAAUUAUUGACAAGAAUGCUAGAAUUGGAGACGAUGUGAAGGUUAUAUACAGUCUCAUCAGAAUUUUUUUCUCAAUCAUAUUCUUUCUUUCCAGUCUAAACUGCACUGUUCUCUCUUUUUUCCCUAUCUUGCUCCACAUGCAUGCUGGAAGAGUGAGGGAGAUGGGGUUUACAAAACUAACUUUUUGAUAUUUAAUCAAGUUUACAUGGAAAAACAUUCACUCAUAACUUUCAUCUUGUUUCAAUUCUCAGAUCAUUAACAGUGACAAUGUGCAAGAAGCUGCAAGGGAAACCGAAGGUUAUUUCAUAAAAAGUGGGAUUGUCACAGUAAUCAAGGAUGCAUUGAUUCCAAGUGGAACUGUCAUCUAAAGUCCUCUCUAGUCUCAACUAUUUCCUCUUGCUGCUGUGCAACACCUCAUUUUCACUGCUGGAAGGUGUUACAAGAACAGCUCUGCUUCCGCGCUGGUUUUCUGGUGCACAUUAUAUUUGGCUCGAAAGUAUAUAGAGUAGAAGACUCUUUUGGUAGUCAUGAUGUAAAUUUAAUUAUUCGGUCAAAUAAAAGCUUCUUUAGUCUGCAAUGCAUGCUCUUUUGUAGUUUAUCAGAAGGGUGGAAUAAUAUUCACUUAAAACAAUGAAAAGGAAUACAAUAAAAGCGUUGGACACUAGCUUCUGCUGAUGUAAUUUGCUUCUUGUAGGUCUUUCAAGACCUUUUUCUUUUCUAUUUCAACUCAACUAAUAGAUAUUAAUUCACCUUUUGUAACUUUCUAAGACACUUGGCCAGUUAAUUUGUUAUGCAUACCUUUUGCUAAGUGGAGUGAGGGCAGAACAGAAAAUAUAAUUGAGCCAGAGAAUAGAUAUGUUAAUCAUAUUUCUUUAUCUUGAUUAUUGGAAUGCUCUCCAACGACGGAUGGAAUAUAAAUUGAAUUUUACGAACCCAGUUGAUAAAAUUUUGUUUAGGUCAGAGAAAGAAAACUAUUGAGAAAAUGACUUUGUUAUAGGGACACUGAUAAGUUGUUUGAUGCUUGAGUUUUCGUUAGUGUUACAAGUUUCAACAUCUUUUGAAACAUGCAACGAUUCCUAAAAUUCAGUUGUAGUCCCAUAUUCAAAAUGACGUGUUUUUAUUUUCCAAUUUUUUAUGUAUGCUGAUUUUCAUGAUCUCUGAAUAUUUCGUUAGAAUUCCCUUUGAUGUUUUUGCUUCAAGGGAAUGCACAUUCCCACAAAAUAAAGGAACACAAAUGACAUUUAAAAUCAGAGACAAUAACAAAAAUUUAAGACCCGAAAAACAUAUUUAAUCCAAAAAUUUACAUUAUCAAUGUGUAAUUACACAAGAUUGUUUUGCUUCUAUAAAGAUUACUAGUUGUUGAGAGAAUUUUAGCCAUUUUAUAACAUCAUGUGUUUGCCAACUAUUUAGACUAUCAUUUAAGUUCAAUUUUUACCUCUAUUGAACCAGUGUAUCACAAAUUCCUUUGUUCGAAUAUUCAGCGCAUCAUAUGACUUCAAAAACUAAAAGUUGGUGAUUAAAUUUUCCGAACUAGGAUAUUUAGUUAAUAGAAUAUCCCAUUUUCACAGUUCUUCGUACAGUUGAUAUAAUUAAGUCAGAGGUAAAUUGAAAUGACUUCGAACACAAUUAUUGGAGGCAAUCAAUUAUAUACAUAGAACUCCAUAAAAAACAUGACUAGGUCAUCAAAUUUCAUUAGCAACUCCUAUCCUUCCUCCACUUUUUGCUGUAAUGUAAUCAAAACUCCCCUGUUGGUUGUUACCGGUAAGUAACUCAGGUCUGCACAACUUCUACUUGCAUCCUGUGUAGCAAAACGGUUAUUAUUUCAAAUAAUCUAAAAGAAGUUCAUAGUCAUCUAAAUCAUAAUCUUAUGGCUACAUUUCUGUGAAUAUUAGUUGAAACAUGCAUUUUGAAUAUAAAGCUACUAACUUCUAUUAUUUCAGGCAAUGUAACCCGAGGGUGAGUGUGGUAAAAAGGAGAAAAAAGGAGAAAGUAUGUUAAAAUACUAAUAACAGUUUAAUGGUUCUUUCAGACAAUAAAGAGGAAAGGAAACCUUCAGUCACUAUCAAUUUUUUUUAGGGAAAACAGAAUUUAGCUAGGGAAUGGAGGACGGAGACAGACGAAUACAGUUGGAAUAAAGGAAAAAAAAAACUAGAUGAAACAAAAGAGCAUUUGCAACUGGCACAUAUGCAAAGAGAAAAAAAUUCUUUAUUGGGUCGCCGCUCAAUGUGAGAAAGAAAAGGGUGAAAAGGAUCUGAAUACACCUCUCAAGGAAAAUUAGAGAGCUGUUUCUUACUCUCCCACUUUCUCUUCACAAGUUUUUCACCCCUCUACCACUUCUCUAGCCCUCCCUUAUACUCCUUCCCCCUCCUAACUGUUAUACAGUUCAGUCAUAACAGCCUACAACUAUUUCUCCCAACUACUGAACCGACUUCUAGAAGGUGUAAUGGUACAAGUAGGUAGCAUUAUCCCCAAUUUCUCAUCAUAUUCUUCAUAUCAUACAGCCUCUUUUACCAAUGGUCUUGUAUAAAGAAGCUACAUACUAAGGCCUUCUAAUAACAAAUCCCCAGACAAAUGUCAAAACAAGUUCGCAAGCUGAAAACUUGCAUGUUCCUCUCCAACAAAAGGCACAAGAUGAUUGCAUAAAUGAAUAUCAUGAAAUAAUCCUCUCAUUUUCACAAAAUACUUAAUAUAGAAUCGUCAAAAAGGUACUCAAGAAUACUAAAAUGAUUGUUCCAAAGAAAUUAGAAAAGUGAUUAUUUUCCAACGCAGGAAAAAAUGCCUUACUCUUUAGGAGUUCAUUUUGAAUAUUAAGCAAACAUCACAUCAGAAUAGAGGGCCCUGUCGUACUUUAAAUAUGCAGUAACUAAAAGUCAUCAGUGUUACUUCGAUUAACAAGACUGACAAUACCCUAUGAAAGUGUGUGGCAGACAGUAUGUGCAUACGAGAGCAAAAGUGUAAUGAAAUAUCAAGGUGGGUGAGUGGAUGCAUAGAAAAAAGAUGAAUUGUAAAUAAUGCAUCUGAAAGAAAGUUGGAAGAACACCUAUUAAGAAGAGACAAAAACAUUUUCCCCAAAAAAAAUUCUUUUGUAUGUUUGUUUAUCCAUGAAAUUUCCAAUAAAGCUACCUCAUAGCAGAAAACCCAAAGUUUCCAGGACAUACGAUACAAUAUAAAACAAGAAAUAAUGAAAUAUAACCUAGAAAUUCACUAAUUAUAAAUAUCAGUUGUAUCUUGGUAAUUUAACCUUGCUUGGAGGUAAUUUUCCUCCAUUUAUCCUUGAGAUCAACAGGAGUACGAGUCUUAUCAAACACGCAGCAACCAAAUUCUAAAAUUUUCCUCCAAGGUAUAUUCUGAUCUUCUGUUGCAAACUUCAACACUCCUUCCUGCAAUGCAAAAAAUAAAAGUAACUAUUAAUUGAGAAAUGAAGACCUUGAGCAGUUAUAAUAGCUAAGAUGAGUGUAGUUCUUGCCCAGUGGUAUGAGUUUGGGACACCAAAAGAGUAAUACGUAGAUUUAAGAUCUGAUCCAUGCUACUUACAAAUCCCCCUCCCCCUGACAAAUUAACCACCAAGAAUUUUCCUAUAGAAAAUAAAGCUAAGACGAAUACUCUAUACCUUGAUCAAAUGUAAGCAUACCAUAAUUGAUUAUAUCUGCUUUACAACUUUAACGUUCAUAACAAUUUCUGAGAAACUUAAAAUGUUUACCAGGAAGUUUUAAACUAACAACAACAACCAAGCCUUAUCCCACUAAGUGGGGUCGGCUACAAGGACCAAAUUACGCCAUAAUGUUCGAUCAUAAAAGAGAUGGAUCAUGCAUUGUUCUUUCCGUAAUUAAACCAGAAGCCAUCCAAAAUCAAGUCAGAAGUAAAGGAAUUAAAUUAGAGCAUGAUAUCAAUAAGGCAUUGCAAUGAAAACCUUGAGAACUUUUUCUUCUUCAGCUGUCCAAUUCAAUCUCUUACGUUUUCCAGUCAGUAUAUUCUGCUUCGUGCUGCAGUAAAAAACAAUAACUCAUUUACACAACCAACAAUACCUAAAGACAAAUCAACUCUCCAUCAAAAUAUCAGCUCUAUUCUACAAAACACUGACAGAAAAAACGGAUAUCAAAUACAACACUGACACGUAGACACGAGUAAUAAGCUGAUAAAAUAGAACUGAUCGAAUGACGAAUAUAACCACAUUUGGGGUCUGUUUGGUAAGCCACAUAUUCGAGCUUAUAGCUUAUGUCUUAUAAGCUCAUUUGAUUAAAAAAGACACGUUAGGUAACUGUCACUUUCUCACGAGCUUAUAGCUUAUUUUUACUAGCUUAUAGCAAUUUUUAAUAAGCUAAUUCAAGUAGCUUAUAGCUUAUCAUAUUUUUAUCACAAUUUUACCCUUGUAGCCUUAAUUGAAAAAUAAUUAAACAUUAAUUAAAUAUAUCUUAUUUAUGUCAUUUCAUACUUAUAAACUAGUUCAACCACUAAUGCUAUCAAACACUAAAAUUCAAUCAUCUAGCUUAUCUGCUAAGCUAGCUUAUCAGCUAUCCACUAUAAGUUCAUUCACUAUAAGCUAGCUUAUCAAGCUAUUCGCUAUUUUUUUACCAAAUAGAGCCUUAUCACGCCUUCAAUCUAAAGUGUCAGUGCUACAUAAGAUAUAACUACUACUACUACUACUUAAUUGGUGUUUACAUGAGAAAUUAAACUAAAAUUGAACAAAUCAACAAAAACAUGAAUAAUCAAAUUUCACAUUCAUUGAACUUCAGGUUGAUGAAUGACUCACACUCGCUUUCGUAGACUUGAAGUUCUGGAGCUAGUAACUUCCUCCUCGUCUAUGUCAUCACCACCACCACUACCACCACCACCACCACCAUUUUUCCGUUCCCUGAGCAAUGCUUUUUUCACAGGAGCAGCCUUACGUUUAACACUGGCACGAACUUUCUUCUCCGCCACCGAAACCUCAUAAUCAGAAUCUUUAGUUUCACUCACUGAACUACCUGAUACAGAAACCUUUUCUUCAUCGUUUUCCUUAUCAUUAUUACUUUCCUCUUCAGAAUGAGAAACUUUUGGUUCAUCCACUUCCGGUUCAUUCGCUUCCGGUUCAUUCCGGUUUACAUGAUCCUGAACCGUUUCCGGUUCUGGUUCAACAGGUUGCUCUUCCUUAUCCUUAUGCACUGUUUGGUGUUUUUCUAAAAAGCUAGAAAGGGCUUUCUUCGCUAGAACCGCUUUUUCUCUUAACUCUCGAGUUUUCUUCAACGCGCGCUUGUACGCACAAUAAGGACAAAAGAAGUUUCCAGAAUCAUCGAAUUUAGGUUCGGAACCGAUGCAAGUGACGUGGACAGAAACGGGGCAAUCGGUUUGGGAACAUACGAGCAAUUCGCCUCCGAGUUUGUUGCAGGUAAUGCAAAUGUUAUCGUCUAAGGAAUCAACGGGUACGGUUUCGGGAACGGAAUCGGGAAAUGGAGUGUGAGUGUGGUGGUUGUCAUCGCCGUCGCUGUUGCUGUUGUAGACGGUUGCAUUGUGGUCGUCGUUGGUGGUGGAGAGGAGAGGAAUGGGAGAGGCGGUUGAAGGUGUUAUACUACGGCGGUGGCGAAUACCGCUGACGACGGAUUUUUUUCUCAUCGCUCACAAUUCUUGUGCUUUUUCAGAGGGAAAAAGACGAAUGAUUCUAAAACCCAGAAAAACACCCAAAAAUAUUUUAAAAAUAUGAAUUAUUGUUUUUAAUAAAUUUUAAUGAGAAUUGCUAAGGACACACCACUAACACUCUCUUAUAACACACAUAUCAAUGACAAUUAACCACAUCACCCGCUUAUUUUAAUUCCUUGACUGGUAACCGGUACUAGAGGUUGCUAAAUGACAUUUUUUAUUUUAGGGUUAAUAGGUUUUUAUCCCCCUGCCAUUUGGGCGUCUUUUGGUUUACCCCCCUAUGAAAAAAAACUUGGAGAUUCCCCCCUGUAAAAUAAAGAUUCUUUGGUUUACCCCCCUACAGCCAACAGUCAGCAUCUGACUGGAUAAAUUUAAUGAUUUGGCAUGCUGACUAUGUAACGAUGGGUGACGUGGCACUGCCACAUCAUAAUUUUUUAUUUUUAUAAAAAUGGAUUUUAGAUGAAAUACCUAAAAUACCCUUAAUGAUAAAUUAAAAAAAAAAAAAAAAACCAUUUCUUUUUCUCUCUUCUUCUCUGCGUAAAUCCCCUUCUCUUCUCUCCCAUCUUCUGUUUUUGUUCUUCCUUUUCUUCUUCUUGAACUUCUCUUUCAUUAACAACAUCAUCUUUUUGUUCUUCAUUUUCUUCUUAUUGAACUUCUCUUUCAUUAACAACAUCAUCAAAUCUAAAAGGGGGAAGGAAUUUCUGUCAACUUUAAAUUAAACCACAGCCCUCUUUUCAUAAACAACACAACAACACAAAUCUAAUAUUUCAUUAAAAAAAUCCAAACAUAAUAACACAACCGAUCCAUGUCGAAUUUUUGUGCUUUCUUGGUUUUUUCUUCUUCUUUAUUCAUCCCUUUUUAUUUUUUGGUUUGUGAUUUGUAUAACAAAAGGAUUAAGAACCCAUAUUGUAUGUUUGUGUUUGAGAAGAAGUGGAAUGCCUAUGUUUGAGAUUUGGAGAAGAAAAUGGGUUGUUUGUGUGUUGUUGUUGAUUGAAUCCGAUUCAACCCAUUCAAAUCCGAAUUCGGUGGUGGAUUUGGAGAAGAAAAUGAGUUGUUUGGAUUUGUCAAUGACUUUUACGGCGACGGUUGGUAUUUGCCGAGGAUGAUGUGUAACGGCAGUGAUGGUGGCGGUGACGGUGGUGAUUGUUGCCACCGUUUCAUUUUGUUUGGUGAGAGAGGAAAAGAGAGAAAUGGGACUGUGUGUUUGUGGAGGGUGUUUUCUGAUUUUUUUUUCUUCUAGGUUUUGUGAAGUUUUUAGGUUGAAGAUGUUGUGUUGAUGAUGGUGAAGAACAGAAGAAGAGGCUCGAUUUAGGAGAAGAGAAAAAAAUUUUGGAAUUUUUAAUUUAUCACUAGGGGUAUUUUAGGUAUUUCACGUUUUAAACAUACUUUUAAAAAUUAAAAAUUAUGACGUGUCAGUGCCACGUCACCCAUCGUUAAACAGUCAGCAUGCCAAAUCAUCAAAUUUAUCCAGUCAGAUGCUGACUGUUGGCUGUAGGGGGGUAAACCAAAGAAUCUUUAUUUUACAGGGGGGAAUCUCCAAGUUUUUUUUUCAUAGGGGGGUAAACCAAAAGACGCUCAAAUGGCAGGGGGGUAAAAGCCUAUUAACCCUUUAUUUUAUUUUACUGCAACUCAUCGUUUGUCUAUGAAUUAAAAAACAAAGACAAAAGAUCUAAAACUUCUUCCAGCCUGUCCACUGCUCCUUUCCAUCCGAUCUGUCCAUUGCUCAUGCCAUCCUUCUCUGCCGCACAAGAUCUAUAUCUUUCUCGUUUGAUUUGACCCAUCUCGUCUCUUUUUCAUUCCGAUCUUGUCUUCGUUUUCUCAUUUUAUUGAUUUUGUUGGGGUGGAGAUUGCACGAUUCAAAUUUAGUAAAGUUUUAUUUGUUUGAUUGAUAAAAUCUAAAGAAUGCUUUUGCACAUUAUAUUGAAGGCUUAAACUCACUUUUUACCCCCUAAGUUUGCAAAAGUUGCAAUUUUGGCACCCUAUUAGAAAAAAUGGCAAAAGCUACCCCCCAUGUUUUCCCCCUUUUGCAAAACGUCGAUUUUGACCGAGUCAACCAUAUGUGGCAUGCCACAUGUGUAAAUUUUUAAUUAAAAAAUAUUAAAAUUGUCACGUGUGUAUCUUUUGAAUUAAAAAAAAAUAAAAAAUGGAGAGGCACGUGAGUGAGAGAGUCUCUAUGCUCUCUCUUCUUUCUUUUCCUCCCAAUUCUUUCUUCUUCUUCCUUCUUUCCUAAUUGCCGCCUCCCUCUUCCCUUUUUCCGGCCAUCCAACAUGGUGCUUCCAACCAUCCUUUGUCAAACAAAAUACAUAAUAUUUAUUCACCCUUCCUUCUCUAUCUCAUCAUAAAUUUAUUUUUGGAUUGAAGAUAUUUUGAGUUUUCAAACCACCACCUUCAUUGUUAGAUCUAGACCACCACAAAACGUUUUUCGACAAAUUGCCACAAUAAAAGUACUCUCCUUCGUAUUCCCUACAAAACCCACAAAAAAUCAUGUUUGGAUGACAUUUCUCCGACGACCACCGCACCGGAAAACAUCACCACCACGCCGGAAUUUAAAUCUAUUGUUUUCAGUUUGUUUUCCAGAAGCUACACUUCUUAUGACAGUUGCCGAUGAUGAACUGCUACCUUUUUCCAUGGAUUGCUUCUCAGUGUUGAUAAUUUUAAUAAUUUGCAAGUCUUGGUUAGGAAAGAAGGAAGAGGAAGAAAGAAUUGGAAGAUUUUUUUUUUGCAAAAUGCAUUCUUUCCAGCAUUAUGGACAAAAGAAACAACAAUGGUGUUAUGUUCAUUCACUCACGUGCCCUCUCUUCUUAAUUUUAAUUUUUUAUUUCUUUAAUUAUACAUGUGGAAUUUAUGGAUUAAAAAAAAUAAAAAAUAAAAAAUAAAAUAUCCAGGUGGCAUGCCACAUAUGGUUGACUCGGUCAAAAUCGACGUUUUGCAAAAGGGGGAAAACAUGGGGGUAACUUUUGCCAUUUUUUUAAUAGGGGGUAAAAUUUGCAACUUUUGCAAACUUAGGGGGUAAAAAGUGAAUUUAAGCCUAUUUUGAAAGGGUACAACUUAUACAAAAACUUAGGGUCUUUUUGGGAAACCCAAAAAAAGAGCUUUUAGCUUUUAGCUUAUAGCUUAUAAGCUCGUUUGACAAAAAAAGCUCUGUUUGGUAAUACUUUUUCACCAUGAGCUUAUAGCUUAUUUCACGAGCUUAUAAGCUAUUUUUCAGAAGCUAUUCCAAGUAGCGUUUGAGCUUAUAGCUUAUAGCUUCUCACUUUUUCUUCCAAUUUUACCCUUAUUAUUUCAUUUAAAUUGUAUUUUUAUCCAUUAUAAUUUUUAUAAUUAGUUACGUAAUAAAGACUACUAUCCCUUUAUUCCAAUUUUUGUAUAUAUAUCAACUGGCCUUUUUUUUUUUUUGGAAAAAAUAUAUACCUUUGUUUUUUUUUACGAAACAAAAUACUAUUAUUCUAUUAGUGUUACUUUUUUUUUUUUUUUUGAGGUAAGUGUUAUUUUCUUUAUUCUCUGUUAUUAGUAUUACUCUAUUAGUGCUACCUUUUUUUUUUUUUUUUUUUUUGAGGUAAAUGUUAUUUCCUUUAUAAAGUAGAAACACUUAAAUGAUAAUAAAUAUAAGAUAAAAUUUUAGUGAAUAAAAUUUAAUUUAAUUUAUAAUACAUAUGAUAUAUUAAAUUAAUAAAUUUAAAGUAUUUUUUUAAAGAAAAAUUAGUUUACAAAAUUACAAAUACUUAAAUUAAUGAUAUAAUUUUUAUUAUGAAUUAAGAAUACCCUUUAUGUCAUUUUACAUUUAUCAGCUAGUUAAACCGCUAUUUUUACCAAACACUUCAGUUAGCUUAUCAGCUAAAAGCUAUCAGUUAGCUUAUCAGCUAUCCGCUAUUUUUACCAAACAGAGCCUUAGAGAUUGAAAAGUAUGGUUACGUUCCAUUAUUUUUUUCUCUUAUGCAUCUUUUGUUUUGUUUUGCUUUAUGAAAGCAAACCAUUUCUGUGAAGUGACCCAGUUUUGUGGGAAGUUGAGUGCAGUGCAGAAGAUGAACAAUUAAAAUCUUUAAUAAUAAUAAAAAUAAAAUAAAUGGAAACACUCACAAGGGUGAAACUGGUUUGUAGGUAAAACUAAUUAAAAGAGUUGAUGACAUGGUGGAUCGUUAUUGGAUGUGUUAAAAGAGAGUGUUAGUGGAUUUAGGGUUUAGGCAAAUCACAUUAAGUGAAACUUGCCAAACAAGCUAAAGAAUUGACACGGUCCAAUAGAUGUGUAACGAGUUGUCAAAAUAAUAUAUCAAUGAGUAAACAGUCAAUUUUCCUCUUGAAAUCGUAAGUUUCGCCAAUUCCCCUAUGAAAUUAACAAAACUUCAAUUACCCCCCUAAAAUUGCAUAACGUUAAUCAAUUUACCCCCUCCGUCAAAUUUUUCUGUUAGCUGUUUACGGUUAAGAUCAAAUACCCCCUCUGAAAUUUUGCACUUAUGUGCAAAAUGCCCCUUAAACUUGAUUUUUUUUUUUUAUCCUUGACUCAAAAGAUAUUAAAGGCAAACAAUUAACAAUUAUUGAUCAUAUAAAUCUUUAUGGAAUGUAUGUUUAUGCAGCUAUUGGUCAUAUAAAUCUUUAUGGAAGAUAUAUUACUCUCAUGUGUUUUAAAUAUAUAUAUAUAGAAGAUUUUUUUUUACACAAGUUGGUAAUUAUGUUAGAGUAUGCAAUCAUAAAGUAUACAAGUCUUUGAUAAUUGUGUAUCCAUAAAGAAAAUUCAUAGGUUAAUAUCUGCAUAAGGAAGAAGAAACAAGACUUAGGUUUGUGAAUUUGCAACUUAAUUAAUGAUAUAAUUUUUAUAAUGCAGGAAAUGUCAUAUCUAUUAGCUGCAACAUGUUAAAUAGAUUAUGUCAUAGACCUUCUGCAUGAAGCCGGUAUAUCACAUUGUACUACAAAGUUAUGUGAUAGAUAUUAAUUUUCUGCUGCUAUGACAUUCUUGUCUUGGUUUAUUUCAACAACUUGAUAUCUUUUUAAUGUUUGGUUUUUAGUUUUACCUUCUUUGUAAAAAAUUUAUUUUGCUCCUUGUUGAUAAAUAUGAAAUAUAAAUGAAAAGACUACACAUGACAAAACCAUGAUUUCUUUGGCAUAUAUUCAUUCAUUUUCUUGUGAAUAGAAUUUUUAUGACAAUAGGUACAAUAUAUUACUUGAAGAACAAAAUGUAUGAUUUUUGGUAAAAAAAAAUCUAAAAUUUUAAGUUUAGAGGGCAUUUUGCACAUAAGUGCAAAAUUUCAGGGGGGUAUUUGAUCAUAACUGUAAACAGUUAACAGAAAAAUUUGACGGAAGGGUAAAUUGAUUAACGUUAUGCAAUUUCAGAGAGGUAAUUGAAGUUUUGUUAAUUUUAGAGGGAUAAUUGACGAAACUUAUAAUUUCAGGAGGGAGAUUGACUAUUUACUGAUAUAUCAAUAUAUCAUAAAAAGUUGAUUUAUUGAAUAAUUUUUGAAUGUGUAACGGGUAGUUAAUUUGAAAAUGUAAUUUUUACAAAGUAGUCUUGUAUAAUACUUUGGAUUCCAAAAUAAAUUGUCACAUUAGAUAUCAAUCUAAAAUUUAGAUCCGAGCAAAUGUUAUAUUGUUUGCAACGUCUAUCAUAGUUUGCAACAAAACAUAUCCUUUGAUUGUUUUUUUUAAGGGCGGUCAUUUCUAUACGGCUUACCAAUGAAGGAUUAUUUGAUUCGACGUGGAAAUAUACCGUAUAACUAUUAUCUGUUCGGAUGGCUAUGUGAAGGAGGAGAGCGUUGAUCAUGUAUUUGUGGGAUGUGGUUUUUACGGUAGCAUAUGGUCUCUGAUUUGGCAACAGAAGUUUAUGAGGUGAUUCUAGAAAAAUUCAGCUUUUGAAACAUUUGAUUUGGUUGGCUCGUAUAUGUGUUCUCUAAAAAGAAAGGAAUUGUAGCAUUUUUCAGCAAAAUCAGUUGCCCUUACAUCAUCUAUGUGAUAAAGUGAAACUUCUAUUUUGUGGUGGUUGAAAUCCAAACACAAACACUUAACUUUGAUUUUCAUCAGUGAUGGAUAAAUCCCUUCUUCUGAAGUUUGAACCUUGUUACCUUGCUAGAACCAUGUUUUGCUUCCUAGCUAGGUGUUUCAUUGUUUAUUUCUUGUAGUUGUUUGGUUUGUAACAUAACUUCAUAUUUUUUUGAGUCUUAGCUUUGCACUCCUUUUGCAUGUUAGGAUCUCCUCUUCGUUUAAUAUAUUUCAAUUUAACUUCUUAAAAUAAAAAUAUUAGAUAAGAUUAAUUUCUAUAUAUCUUCCAUGAUUCGUUUAUAAGGAAUUUAUUUUAAGUCUCAUAAACUACAAAUAAGUGUUUUCAUAUUGUCACAUCAUACUUAUGCAACUCAUACAUAUUUUGCUCCAAUAGUAAAUAAUUAAUUAAUUUAUUUCUACUUAAUCUUGUUUCAAAUUCAAAUAUUAAUUAAUUUAUUUCCAUAACGUCAUAUCUUAUUAAGAUACUUACAAUUUUUAUGAUACAAAACAUCACCAUUAAACUCAUUAGUUUAUUAGAAAUUAAUAGUUCAAAUCUUUUUCUUUACGGUAAUAAUAAUCCAAAUCUUAAUAGUAUAUAUAGUAUGUAAUGAAAUUGUUAGUUGAUUAGGUGCUUUGUUUUUAUUUAAAAUAAAAAUAAAAAUUGCAUUGUUUAGAAAAUAAGAGAGAACUAGGCUAUGUUUGCGCCAUCAGAGCCACGUCGAUAAUGAGUUUUGAUGAAUUCUUAAUCUCUUCUACGAACUUAGAUCUAAAACAAAAGGCAGAUUCUAUGACCAAAGAACAAGAAAAUAUAAUUUGUUAGUUAAACUUCUCUUAAUAAAACUUGUUUAUUAUCUGCAUCCGUUUGAGUUAACUCCCCUUCUGAAUAUUCAUCCACAUAUAAGUUGGUUUGGACAAUGGAAUUGUGAAAGGUUAGUUUAUACUUUAUGUUUUAAUUUCAUUUUUCUUCUAACUUUCCACUUUCCACAAUUAUUAAAUGUAUAAACUUGUGAAUUGUGAUGAUAUUUUGUCACGUUCUAAUUGUUUUCAUGCAGGUGUUAGUUUUUUUAUCAUUCAUUUGGUAAACAUUUCUACAAAGAAGACGUGAAAUUUUGAAAACAAUAUGAAGAGGGCUAUCUCGGUACGUCGUAACAUUUCCUUAAUUGCUAACUUACAUGCAUUCUAUGUUGAUGUCUAAUUGUAAGUACGGUAUAGAUACACAUUCUCUUUAUUUCUCAAAAGAAAUCGAAGACUCAGUCCCGUGACUAUAAUCGUGUAUAUAAAAACUUAAUGUAUGUCACUAAUUCAAGAUAUGUUUUUAUACACACAAUUAUAUCAAUGCAUUUUUCUACUUUAUUUUUUUUUGUUGGCUUUCGCACCGGUUUCCGACUUUGGUGGACGACUAAUCUGGCUCAUGCGCACUGGCCAAACGUUGUUCCCCUUGGAAAUCUAAUCCGAUAUUCCACGGGUACGUCCUUGGAAGAAGCUCCUUGCCACUGGAGCCCAAGCAACUUGGUUUACUUUCUUUAUAUAGUUAGGAAUAUCAUGUGUUAAGAAAGAUAUGGUUGUGCAGGUGGGAUCUUUAGAGGGAAGAGGUGUGAUAGAACUCGAAAACGCGAGCUUACUUAAUCCUUCUUCAUUUCCUAAAAAAGAUGCAUCAUUUGGAGAAGAAGAUUCACCAAUUGAUCAUGAGUAUAGGAAUUUCUCACAGGAUGUAAUAAAAAUUAAGAUGCUUAGUAGCAUAAAACUUGUAAUCCUUUCAACCAAGAUAAACUUACUCCUGCCUUUUGGUCCCAUGGCAAUUUUGGUAGAUAAAUUGUUUCAUAGUCAUGUAAGUUUCUUUGUUCAUUUGAUUGCUAAAUAUUCAAAUUCAAUUGUAAAUCAUGCUACAUUUGAUUUCUUCAAAUGUGUUUCAGGGUUGGGUCUUUCUUUUUAGCUUAUUAGGCAUUAUACCCUUGGCAGAGCGUUUGGGAUAUACGACUGAGUAAGUAAUUCAAAAUUUCACGCUUAAGAGUUUUAACGUUGCUGCAUUCCUAGAGUUGGAUUCGGACCCAGGAUACUAAACAUUUAUUUUAAUUUUUUUGUUGUUGAUGGAUACUAAGCAUUUAAUUGCACAUAAAACUGUUGCUAACUUUGUUUUUACUAAAAUAUUAAGAGUGGGAAUAAUUUUGUGAUGUAAGUAUUGCAACUAAAAUAAAAACCUUAUUAUAAUCAUCAUUCAUAACACCUUAAUUCUUACCCCUCUUUUGUGAAGAAGAUGAAAAAAUGUGACAUUUAUUCUGUUUUCUCAUUAUUAUUUUGGUAUGCAUGUUGUAAUAAGAUCAAUCAUAUGUGAUGUUUAAUACAACAUGCUCAAAUGGAAUUUCAUAGAAACUUAGUUUAAGAAUUUGAUUAUAAUGGAAAUUUUGGUCUUCCUUUGAUGCAGGCAACUAGCUUUCUUUACUGGACCUGCGGGUAAUCUUAGGUUUCCCUUCAAUUACAUCCUAAUUUGUUUAACUUUGUGCAAAUCUGUUCAUUGAAAUUCUUCUGAAGUAGCACCACUGCUAUAGACAUUUAGGGAUGUUAAUUUGCACCUAUAAACGAGAAUCUCCGAGGAAUUUAAGUGUUUUUGCCAAUACUCGCUAACAUAAUCGUUAGCAGCCUAUUUUAAUUACUUCAUUUCCAAUAUGACUUUGUGUUGCAGUUGGUGGUCUUUUAUACGCCACAUUUGGAAAUGCAACAGAAUUAAUUAUAUCAAUUCACGCCCUCAAAAGUGGAUUGGUUCGUCUUGUUCAACAAUCGCUACUCGGUUCAAUUUUAUCUAACCUAUUGUUAGUGCUUGGAUCUGCAUUAUUUGCUGGUGGAUUAGUAUUUCAUAAGAAGGAACAACUAUUUAACCAUGUAUGGUUUUGUUCAAUUCAAACAAUUUCGCUUUCUCUGAGUUUAUUUUCUUGUAUAUAGCAGAAAAUUGACCUUAACUGAUCAUCAGGCAGAUGCAAACGUGGAUUUCGGAUUAUUAUUGAUGGCGGUAAUGGGACUGUUAUUUCCAGCAAUUCUCCAUGCUACACAAACAGAAUCAGAAUAUGGGACAUCUCAGUUAUCUCUUUCAAGAUUUACUAGUUGCAUUAUGCUUGUGGCAUAUGCUUCCUAUGUAGUGUUUCAAUUGAAGAUUCAGAAGAAUUUAGAACUUUCAGUUCAUGAGGUUAAGCCUUAAUUGUUAGUUAUUAAUGCAAAUAAUGAUAUCCAGGUUACAGCGAGAAUCGUACUAAUAUUAUUUUUGAUCUAUAAUUGUAAUUAAUGAUUUUUAGGACAAGAAUUUCAAUGAAGAUGCUUCAAAUGAUGCAGAAACUCCUGAGAUUUCAAUGUGGGAAUCAAUGAUAUGGAUUUCAAUCUUAACAGGAGGUAUAUCUAUCUUGUCAGAAUACUUGGUUAACACCAUAGAGGUAAAUUAAAAUCUUGUUUAUUUCAUUCCAUUAUAGAGCAUAUAUCUUUUGUUUGAUUUAAUAUUUUUUUUCUUCCUAUUUUCGACUUAAUAAUAGCAUAUUCUUUGUCGUCAAAAAAAUCUUAAUAUUUGUUUACUUUUUCCUUCCUAAUAUUUGUGUUUUUAUGGGAUAAGUUAUUGAAAUAACAUAUAAUAAAAUAUUUUCAGGGGGCAUCAAAACAGUUUCAAAUGCCAGUGUCAUUUCUUAGUGUUAUUCUUCUUCCAGCAGUAGGGAAUGCUGCUGAGCAUGUUGGAUCUGUUAUGUUUGCUAUCAAAGACAAACUUGUAAGUAUUUUGACUACUUACAAGUUUCGUGAUUUUAACAUAUAUGAAAGGUUUUGUUAUAAAUUUAAGGGUAAGUUUUGUAUUAUUUUCCUUUUUUUUAAUGUAAAAAAAAAAAGAAAGAAAGAAAGAAAACAACAUAAAACUUACCAUUAAAAAUGGAUACAUUAAAAUGUCACAUUUAAUUUAUAUGAUGAAAAAAUAAUCUUAAUGAUAAAUGAAUAUGAGAAAAAUUAAGAGUGUGAUUUUCCUCUAUAAUUCACUGGCUCUGUAGGACAUAUCGUUGGGCGUGGCUGUAGGAUCUUCAAUACAAAUAUCAAUGUUUGUGGUAAGAUUUUGUCAACGAAAUUUCUUAUGUUUUUUUGGUUUUUCCAUGGUUUGUUAUAGUGUUUCAUAGUUCCUUAACUGCGGUUUUUACUCUAUUUUGUUAUGAAUCAAGUUUAAUGAAGCAAAACAAAACACAAAUGUGAUUCAGGUUAUAGAACUCUUAGGAAAUGAAAUUGAAUAUAACUGAAUAUUUUGAGAUACAGAUUCUAGCUAACACUCUACUAAUCAUCUUAUUCCAUAUGAAUGGUUAUUACUCCACUCCCUGCAGAUUCCAUUUUGUGUGGUCGUUGGAUGGACGAUUGAAUGUCCUAUGGACUUGAAUUUUAAGCCUUUCGAGACAACUUCACUUUUCAUGUCAGUUAUCAUAGUUGCCUUCAUGUUGCAAGUAAGUCAAUCACUGAACUAAAUUCCUUCUCCGUAAUUUGUUGAGUAUACUACAAAUGAUUUUGUACUAAGUUUUUGUCUUCAGUAAUGUCUUAUAUGAACCACUUAUAUCUUUAUAGACUUGAUCUUUACUGUGUUAGGACUAUUAGUGUUAAUUGUUUAGUUAGUCCUUACUUGGCACGUUACUUGUAAUACAAGUAAGAACAGAGACAAUUAAUCCCUUGUGUAAUUGGCUAUAUAUAUGCCAUGAUAGUAUCAAUAACAAGUGGAUAAUCACAUUUAAACCUUACAACUUGAACUUUGUUUCGAAAUGCAGAAUGGAACUUCAAACUACUUCAAAGGGAUUGUGCUUAUUCUUUGCUAUUUGAUAGUUUCUGCAAGUUUUUUUGAACAUAUUGAUCCUAUGUUAGUUGGUGAGUAAUGAAACCCUUCCUUCAUCUUAAAUAGAAUAUUUGAAUUCAAUUGUAUAUGGUUUUAUAAAGUAUAAGCUCUCAGUGUUUCAUUAAAAGCUCCAAAUUUUAUAUUUUUCAGAAGAUAAUCCCUCGACUGCCGGUCCAUAAGAAUCAGUUGCCUUUAAGGUCUCUCUUGUUUUCUUUUCUCCCAUUUCUGAAACGAAGGAUUGGUUUUGCGACUUCGUGGUAAAAUAUCAAGUUAAAGAAUCUUCAAGACCAUAGGCUAAAGUCGAAAAUAAGAUAUGUAUAUCUAACAGAGGAAAUCACAUCACAAAUUAAGAAGCUCAUGAAUAUUGUUCCAGCUUACUGAUGUUAAACAUUGGUAGAUUUUUCGACUUGUCCCCGCUUAAGGUUUAUUUUGCACCAUUGAGUUGUUGGCUAUCUACAUUUGAUACUCUAUUCUUUUUAUGUACUACUUUCCAAUACUGAAACAAGAUGAUAGGCAACUGUACUUGUAUAAAAUAAAAAUGAUAGGCAAGUGGCAACUGUAGUAACUAGUAACCAAAAUCCAUGUUGUACUCAUGUUCAGUAUUAUAAAUUACAUCUAUCUAUAUAUAUUUACCUUAGUUUUUUUCUCUUAAAAUCAUGUAUAACGUACACAUGUACACGUACCUAUACUCGUAUCUGGCGCAUGCCCGUAUCCAAUACAUGCAAUGUAUGAUAAUUGAUCACGUCAGGUGCAAUCACCGACAACGCCCUCGCAACAAAUUAUGGGUGUCAACAUAAAUUGUAUUAAAUUUUAAAUUUCUCAUUAUUUGAAAAAUUAAAUAAAUGUCAGAAUUGUUGUGGAAUGUGAUGAUACUAAGCAAGGAGACAUGGCUAAAGUAGUUCAUUUGGUGAUUGACAUUUAAGGUGCUGGCUUAGUAGGGUCAUAAUGAGAUUGAUGAAUGAAGGUAAUUCUAAUGAGCAAGGGGAUGUGACCCAAAAAGCUCGGAUUAAAAUAAAACAUUGAACAACAUCGGAAUAUGGUUGAUAUCAAGGUUUCCUAAAGAAGUGGAGUGACCGGAGUUCGAACUCCGGUUCCUGCAUGUAAAAUGCAAUAUCCUAUCAACUGAGUUAAGCUUACAGGGAUAUUUUAAUUUAUUUAUUUUAAUUUUUUUUGUGGUGAUUGGGAUUCGAACCAUGUACAUUACAUGUUAUUAUUAUGCAUUGUCUAUAUAAACUAAGAUAAGACUCACAGAGUCACAAUAAUUUUUUUUUUUUUUUUUAAAGGGGGGUUAUUUACGUUGUCUAUCAAAUAAAUAUUUUACUCUUAAAAAACAUAUGUCACUUUAAAGUAUUUUAUUCAGUUCUAAAAAUAUUAUGACGACAUGUUUUUAAGGCUCAAAUCGUCCAAAAUAAGACACAAAUAUCUGACAUAAUUAAGACAAACUAAAUCUAAAUUUUCUAAAAUAAUACAUUAUUGUAAUACAAAACUUUAUUCAAUUUAUCUAAAACAUUACACUUUUGUUUUUAGGGAAUCUAAAACAAUACACAUAUUAUCCAACAUAUCACCAAUUUUUUUUUUUUUUUUUUUUUUUUUGUACAUAGCACAAAACAUAUUGAACUUGAAACUUUACGUUAAUCAUACAUAUUUAUGCAUAACUUGUUUGUUGUCCUCUUUAAAUAUUACUAAUCUAUCCCUAAAAAAAAUAUUACUAAUCUAAUUUUCCCGACCUGCAUCGAGACUGGAUCCACACGGGAUAUCAAAAAUUUCUAAGUGGUAUAAACUAGGGUUUGGAACUCAGGCGGUAGGCGGUGUUUCACUCCAAUCACCGCCAACUUGUAAACAUGUUGGCCGGAAUGGAGAGGGUUUUUGACUAUUCUUCACCUUUCAUCCGUUAUCUCCCACCGUUGAUGCCCAAUGGAGGCCGGAGGAGAUCAUGGGUGUCGACAACGGCGCAGCAAAUGUCGUCGAUAAUUAACGAAGCUUUGACUUAUUGCCUAUACGGAAUCAUAUAAUAUAAUUUAUUUCCAAACAAAAAUAAAUUUUUUAAGACUUUUUUGGUUCUAUUUAUUUUCUGAAAAACUAUUAUGAAUGUAUGAACAAAAUACUAAAAAAAGAGAGCAUAGAAGAGAAAAAGGACACAACGAUAUAUACUGGUUCCCCUUCUAACCUAAGGAUAGUCUGGUCCCCUCAUACCACAUGAAGGAUUUUCAAUAAAACGUAAUCUUUGUUACAAAGCAAGCCUUACCCUAAGGCCAACAAUCUUUCUAAAAAGUACAAGAUAGCACCCCACUGUCCUUACAACAAGAAUCUUCACAAAACUCUGAUGAAAUUCUCACAAACAAACAAGAUAUCACUACUAUCUUUAACAAGAAUUUCCACCAAUCUUAUAAUCUUUUGCCUCUUUCCCCUAAAAAAAAACUUUUGGCCUCUUUAAUCUCUGUGUUAUGUGUGUUGGAUGAUCAAUUAAAAAAAAAAAAUCAUUAUACAAAUUAAUUGGUCUCUUCGUUCAAUUAUAGUAAUUUUAAUUUUUCAUUUAAAUUAAUUAUCUUCUUAAUUUGUGUGAAAUAGUAAAAUGUCGUAAAAUUUGAAAAGUGGGAGUAUAAUGGAAUUGCAACUGAUAGUUUUUACAAGUGAUUUUGAACAUACUGAUCCUAUGUGAGUUGAUUCUACGUCAGUUGGUGAGUUAUGAAACCUUUCAUUUUAAAUAGACAUGUUAAAUAUUCUUUUUCGUUACAAUAGACAUGUUAAAUUAAGUGUUCUAUUAUUCAUCUGUUUCAAUAAAUAAAUAAAUAAAUAAAGUGUUCCAUGACCAUUGUUCACUCCUUUUUUUUUCUUCCAGAAUAUAAUCUCAACUGUUGAUCCGCAAGAGUCGGUUGACACAGAGAAAUAAAUUAUCUUCUCUUCUUAUAUAUUAAAGUCAAGACAUAAGUAUAUUUUAACCCUAAUUUUAACCUAAACCUAUUGCAUAAAUUUACUAUUUUAACUCUGAUGCUAAAUUUCUUUGUUUAACCUUAUUGAAUUUUCCCCCUUCUCAAUUUCUCGAUACAUCUUCUUAUAUAUUAAAGUUAACUAAACAUAUUUUAAAUCAAUUAUACAAAUUUCUUUCAACAUAAUUUUUGUAUCUUUGUUAGUGAUAUAUAAUAUAUGAAUUUUCAAUGUAAUUGACUCACGAGAAAAAGAGAUGUGUGCAGUGCUUUUGGCAAAAUCUCUUUGUUAUUAAAUUAUAGAUUGCUGCUCAAUGUCACUAAAAAUAUUUUGAAUCAAUUAUACAAUUUCCUUCUAUCUUCUUAUAUAUUAAAGUUAACACAGAAGCAUAUUUUAGCCCUAAUUUUAACCUAAACCUAUUGCAUAAAUUUACUAUUUAAACCCUGAUGCUAAAUUCCUUUGUUUAACCUUAUUGAAUUUUCCCCCUUCUCAAUUUCUCGAUACAUCUUCUUAUAUAUUAAAGUUAACUAAACAUAUUUUGAAUCAAUUAUACAAAUUUCUUUCAACAUAAUUUUUGUAUCUUUGUUAGUGAUAUAUAAUAUAUGAAUUUUCAAUGUAAUUGACUUACCAGAAAAAGAGAUGUGUGCAAUGCUUUUGGCAAAAUCUCUUAUGUUAUUAAAUUAUAGAUUGUUGCUCAAUGUCACUAAAAACAUUUUGAAUCAAUUAUACAAUUUCCUUCUAUAGUUGUAUUUAAAAUUAUGACAUUAAAAUUACAAGUUGGGACUGUAUUAUAAAAUUUUACUUUUGUCUACUACACUUACAAUGUAUAUGACCCGUGCGGCAGCACGGGUGGACGAUCUAAUUUUGAUGAAAGAGAAUUUUUGAUUUUAGGGUUAAAUAUAUUUUUUGUUUCUAUAAAUAUAUCAAUUUUUCGUUUUAAUCCUUCUAAAAUUUUCCUUCAACUUUUAAUCUCCAAACAAUUUUUCAUCUUCACUUUUAACCCCUCCUUUAAAGUAAACUCAGAAUUCAUAUUUUUGAAUAAAAUUUUGUAGAAAAAAUUCAUAAUAUUAUAAGAAUCUCACCCCAAAAAAAUUUAGAAUUUUUUAACAUAUGAAUAUUUAUAUUUUUGAUGGUUAAAAAAUCAUAUUAAAUUUAUGUUUCGUUAAAAAUUCUAAUUUUUGUUGGGAAAGAUUUUUACAAUAUUCUACAUAUUUUUCCACAAUUUCAUUAAAAAGAAAAUACAAAAAUUAACUUAAAAAUAGAGACCAAAAGUAAUGAUUGAAAAUUUUAUAACGAUUAAAAGUUGAAGGAAAAUUUUAGAGGGACUAAAGCCAAAAGAUGGUAUAUUUAUAGAGACCAAAAACAUAUUUAACUCUUUUAAAUAUUGGUAGACUUGUUGACUUGGUCCCACAUAAGGUUCCAUUGAGUUAAAUUUUGACUAUGUACCUUGCAACCUGACUAAACUGUUCUUAUGGUUGGAUAAAAUAAUGCAUAUAUUUAGUGUUAUAGUUAAGGUUUAAUUUAAUUUCCCUCGCAUUGACAGUUUAUGCAAUGCACCCUUAGUCAAGUCAUAAACGUUUGCACCACAACAAAGUGAUUGGUAACUUUUCAUGCAUAUAUGGAAUAAUACGAUUAGGCAACUGAUAAUCAUUGUAUUAAACCAUAUAGGAAAUUUACAAACAUUCUGCUAAUCACCCAUAAGCACUUGCAAACAUCCCCUAAAUCUAUUUAACAUCGUAAAAGAGUUAAUGCAGCAAUUGAUAAAAGAAAACAUUGUCUCAGAUGUCGGAGUAAGUGACAUAACUACUUAAGAACGACAGCUGCAUUCCUCAUACCUAGGUAUCUUUGCACAGACUCGUUUGGAAGCGAUCUGAUCAUCUUGAAAACAUCAGUAUUUGCAUACCGGAGAUUAGUCUUAGGAUCAUAGUAAGGUGCCUGCAAAGUGAACCGAUUGGUUAAUUCUCUAGUGCAAAUGAUUAGUAUGCCAUGGUAUAAUUAUCAUCAUCGUUAACAUUUUCUUAAUUAGUUAAAUAAUUACUUAAACGGACAUACUUCACACCAAGUAAUAUAAUACCCAUAGAAAUUUUUUAGUAGUAUGUUGUUUUAGGCUUUUAGCAUGAAGUUAAUUCAAUGGGUAGAUGAUCAACUGGUUUGAGCCAAGAGAUGAAGAGUUGGAGGUCUUGGGUUCAAAUCUGGACAAAGGAGUGAAUAUUAAUCUAACUACUAACAUUUUCUAUUAAAAAAACGUUAAUUCAAUGGAAAAUGUUAAGGUUAGUCAAGCCUGCAUAACAAGGUGUUUAAAAGGUCAGCAUCACUAUGGCAUCCAAAAAAACCAGUGUGAAGUUCAACAAUUACAAAGAAAUCGAGUUCAAUCAGUGUGACUAAAUAAGAUAUUAUUCAGGUUGUUCACAUUAUCCUAAAUCAAUCUAGUAUUUGUUGCAAAAUUCGUUUUCAGCACUGUCUUUCGAGUAAGGAAAAAGGAAAGUAUAAAGAGGAGAUAAAUAAUGCGGUAUACAAUUACUUCACAAUAUCCCACCCAUUUCCAACUAUAAAUUAUUCUUAAUUUCAGACAUUUAUCAACUAAGAUGCUAGAUCUAAAUCUCAACCAAACUUGUACUUUUAAAUUAGAUCAAGCUGAAAACAUUUCAACUCCAAAACAUUUCCCAUGUCUAAGAAUACCCAAAUUAAACAGGCACUAAUGCAAAAAGAUAAACAUCAGGUUACAGGGAAACAAACUAAUAUCCACUCAAACAAUUUAGCAGUGUUAGUGAUAUGCAAGUGGAAGAUAAAAGCGCCAUGGACAUUAAAAUAAAUGUCAUAGACAUUCAAGCACAUUAUCUCCCGUUGUUCAUUUAAUAUCUUGAGCUGUGUGAGAUGAAAGUGUACAAGGGGGGUGUUGUACUAAAAGUUCUGGGCAUGAAUAUGAGAAAAAUAAACAAGGAUUUUUCUGGCAAAAGGCAAUAACUGUUGAACACCAAAGGAACGGUAGAUUGAGCACUCUACUGCACAUCCUAAGAUGAAAGUAAAAUAUAGUUCUUUGAGAAGACAUAGCAUGCAAAAAAUUUCAACACAAGUAGAAUAUUCUUUUACCACCACAAGUAAUUAGAAGAUAAAAUCACAAAAUUUGAAUAUUAGUACAAAAGCAAGAUGUGUGUGAAUCUUAAGCUUCAAUAUCAAAUGCUAUCAACAGAUUCUUAAAUAAGAUGUUAAAGUAAUACUAGUGACAAGAAAAAGGAUAGAAUACAUUAAGGGUGUGUUUGGAUGGAGGGUUUAGGAGGGGAGGGUUUAGUUUUCAUUUUUAAAUUACGGACACUAUGAAAUGUUUUUUAAAAAGUUAACAUAUUAACAUAAUAACGAUCAUAUAAUACUUCAACCACACUUGAUUUAUUUUAGAAAAAACAUGUUAUAUAGUCCGUAAUUUAAAAAAGAUAAGUAAACCUUCCCCUCCUAAACCCUCAAUCCAAACACACCCUAAUAGAACAUAAUUAGUUUCAUAACUUCUAAAAAAUAAAAAUAUGUGAGAAUAUAAAGAUUUUGCAAACUUCUUCCAGAAAUGAAAAGCAAUUUCUCUUGCAGGGAAACACCAUAACAAAGAUCACUACAUACCUCAUAGCCUGUAAUAUCGCAAAUUCUCUUGCAUGGAUGCAUAGAAGGGGGUGACUCAAUAUUGACAUCUGCAGGACAAUUCAAUAAAAAAAAACAAUUUAGAUUCUUUUCCAUGGAAGACACACAUAUAACCACAACAAAAAUUGGCACAUAGGAGUAUCCGACGUUGAGGUUAAACAUUAAAAUUCUUCCAAUUGUUGCUUUAGUAUUCCAAAUGAAAGAAUAAAUAACAUUAGAGUGAAAAAAAGUGCAAUUAGAGUGAAGAGAACAUAUCCACCAAAAGCGAAAAUAACAACAACAAACAUGCCUUAUCCCACGAAGUGGGGUAGGCUACAUGGAUCAAAUUACACCAUAACGCUCUAUGUCAUGGACCAAAUACGAAAAGGGAAAAUACAAAUAACAAAACUAAGAAAGUAAAAAAGUCUAAGAGCAAUGUAACAC